UCGCCGGACCGGCGACCCUUUGAAAUUUGGAUAUGUGUGCAACCGCCAUAGUUUUACGCGGCUAAGCGACGUACCCUCGUGGCGUCAAUCACUAUAUAAAGGGUCGCCAUGCUCCGGUAGAAGAACAUCACAAACUCGAGAGCAGAGAGCACCUGCCAAGGUACAGCAAUCGCCACUGCACUAGUUCUGCCGUCUUGCGUUUCUCUGUGCGAUCUCGACCGCGGCGUCGACCAUGAGCUACCCGCCACCGGGCACCGCGUACCCGCCGCCGGGGCAGGAGGCCUACCCGCCUCCAGUCUACGGCGCUCCGCCGCCUGUCGCCGCCAGCUACCAGCAGCAGCAGGCCCCGCCGCCGGAACCGGAGGACAGCGGCGACGGCUUCUGGAAAGGAUGGUACGGCCACUCGAUCGUCAAGAUUACCCACUGCUGUCUGUUUUGAUUUCUUCUAUAACCUGCGUGGUCCGUUUUCAUCUGCAGUUGUGCUGCGAUUUGCUGCUGCUGUCUGCUCGACACGUGCUGCUGACACAAGAGUUCGUACCGCCAACACCAGGAUAUCCUACGAUGAUCGAUCUACAUCUACUAGGAGCUGCUCAUAUACAGUUUGUUUCUAUCGUACGUAGUAUUUGUGCUGUUCGGAUCGAGAUUUGUAUGACGGUGUUCGGUGUAGAUCACUGCAUCGAAUUGUACUAUUACCUCCGUUCGGAAAUAAGUGGCGCUGUUUUAGUUUAUAAAUUGUACUCCUAUUACUAGUUAAUUUUGCAUCUUGGUUUUGGCCUCUACUGUAUCAUUGAUAUUGUUAUCUGCUGUUUUCCUGCAAAAAGAAAAUUUGUUAUCGACAGUGGUCUUCAUUUUGUUGGCUACGAAUUACACGCAACACCAGUAUAUAGGGGUGGAAAGUGGUAGCGGAUAAUCUGAAAUAUCCGAUAUUCGUAUUCGAGAAAAUGCCUAUUCGUAUCCGAAACAUCCGCAUCCGAACCAAAAUGGAAAUGGAAAUUAUCCGUAUCCGAAUUUAUUAAACAAAUAAAAAAUAAAAUAUGGUAGGAGAUUUUGACACAAAUAUGGAUAUGGAAGUGGAUAUAUCCGUAUCCGAAUAAGAUUAUGGGAGGUAAUUUUUAAAAUUCUAGGUCCAAUAUUCCAAUUAUCCAACAUAAAAGCCAAAUAAGUGGUCAAAUUUUACUCUUUAUAUGAUUAAACUUAUAAAUUAUUAUGCAUUACAAUAGUAUUUAUUCAUAAACCUAUUUAUCAUUGACUUAUUGUAUGUCACAAGUUGAUUAUUUUAGGUCACAUAGCUAUUGACUAAUUUACUUAAGCAAUAUGUUGAUAUUAUUCGUAUUCGAUCCGAAUCAAGAAAAUAUCCGAUACGUAUCCGUAUUCGAAUAAUAUUCAAGCCGCAUCCGUAUCUGAUAACAUCCGUAUUCGGAUUCGUAUUCGUUUUGAAAAUAUGAAAAUGGAAGUGGUAAGAGCACUAUCCGAUCCGCAUCCGAUCCGUUUCCACCCCUACCAGUAUACCAGGAUUCCAGGCGACAUUCAGAGGUUUCUGAUUGUCUGGUCGAAUGAUUUGGUUCAUGCUCCAGAAUUGUUUUGUGUUGUUAUUUAAUUGCAUGUGUUACUUCCGAUGAUUUGCUUGUUGCAUAUGUUGCAAUUUCUCCAAUUAGUUGUUGCAAAGGGUUAUUUUUCUGACGCAUACAGUAAUUUUUUAUACCACAUGCACGUGUUUAGAAUGAAAAAUGUUGUCUCACGACAAACAUGUUGCAUGGGGUUUUUAAUUUAAAUGGAUGGUUUUCAGAUUGUGAAUUGAGUCAACGGAAAGGCUAGGGAGCUGGCCGGUUGGGUAAAAAUUUGGCCAAGCAUUGGCUUAAGAUACGUGAUUGCAAAUUAACUUGCUCCGUGGCGGUUAUGUUCACACAAAAAAAACUUGCUCCGUGGCGGGCCAUGGUGAGUGUUGAAUGUCAACUAUGCGUGGAUCGUCAAAUUUGACCAGCUAGCUAUCUCGGGAGACACAAUGUCGGAAAUGGCAAGAAUUAUUGUCCUCAUGCAAAAGAACAUAUUGGACACUGCCUUAAAAUAUUGAACUUCACCUAUUACAGAACUCUAAACCUGACCUGUUUCAUUGGGAGGCAUGUUAUCUGAUAUUGUCUUAACACAACAUCUAGUAGUGGAGCAGUUUGCUUGAAAGAGGUUUUUUUCUUUAAUAUGUGCUAUAGCUAAGCAAGUACUACCUCCGUCUGGGUUUAUUAGUCCCCUUUGUAUUUUAUGUCCAAAUUUAACCAUAGAUUUGACUAACAAAAUAUAAGUUGUUUGUCACAAAAGUUAUAUGGUUGGAUCCAUAUUCGAAAGUCGCUUCAAUGAUACUAUCUUUGUGGUGUAUAACUUAUUUUUGAUAGUUAAAUCAAAGGUCAAAAAUUGACCCAAAAUACAAGGGGACUAAUAAAUCAGGACAGAGGUAGUAUGUAUCUACUGUUGGUUGCUUCCUCGUAAUUCGUGCAUGAGAUUAGGCAUAAAGAUUUGUUCUGUAAUUAAGAAAAGUAGAUAAUAGGAAUACAUCGGUUUUCCUAUUUCACACAAGUAAUCCCAUACCUAUGGAAAAAGAAUCGCGAAUUUGAUUAACAUGAUGACGUGAUUGGUUCAUCGUGAAAAUCUGAGAGGCCCGGUGUGGAGAAAAGGGAGGGUUGGGGGAAGAGUGCACGUAAAUUUGUAGAUCCAAGCCUCCAUUGGUUCACAAAAUUAAAAAAUGCAGGAAAGAAAAAAAACAAAAAAAAUUAUAAAAGUGUAUGUGUAAAACAGAGGAUUGAGAAACAUGGAAUUUCGCAAAAUUGGGUAUUUGGUUCAAAUGAAUAGGAAAAACACAUGAAUCCUAAUAAAUAGAGUCAAGUCAAAGUCAAACCACGUGGAAAGGUAUAAUUAACAUGUUUAUUACGCUAUUAAGAAUCUCAAUUUUGUUCUGAUGGCAUGUUGACCGGGGAUCAUCUCCAAAUCCGCUAGAUCCUGAUGUUGUCCUCUUCGUCCAGCGUGAUUGAAGAAGAAGAAGAGUGCCGCCACAAGUCGCCAUAUGCACACCACACUCCAAGACACCCGCAUACUCUGCACAAGCCGACGCUGUUGGGCCGAAGGACGCGGCCGGGAAUCGUGUCCCGCUCCGGCCAAACGGGUCCUUAGAGGCUUUGAAAAAUUCUCACGCCACGCCUAGAAUAUUUCCAAGAGUUGCUUUGAAAACAGAAGCGCGCGCGUUCAGAAGUCUGAAAUUAGGAGGAGGGAGGGAAGCGGUUUCUUGUUCUGGACAACGACGAGGAGGAACCAAAGUAGCAGCCGUCUAGUAUACGUGACGCGAUUAAUCACGCAGAUGCGACCGGCCGGCGCCCCCCUGAUUUGUAUAGUACCGAGUAAAUGAGUGCCAGCUUUGGAUUACGCGUCCAAACAAUCCUAAUUAAUCCGGCAGCACUCCACUGGCAGCAUAUGCCUCGCGGCACAUAGGAUUAUAUAAAGCGCAGGGCUCCGGCGGAAGAACACAUCUCACAAAGUUCAGAUCAGCGCGCAGUGUAGUGUUGCCAAGUAUUUCGUGGGUGGCAUCGAUCGAGGAAGAGAGACACCAUGAGCUACCCGCCGCCGGGCACCGCGUACCCUCCGCCGGGCCAGCAGCAGGCGUACCCGCCGCCGGGCAACGGUUACGGCUACCCUCCUUCGGGCCAGGAGCAGCCGCAGCAGCAGCAGCAGGCAUACCCGCCGCCGGCGUACGGCGCGCCGCCGCCCGUCGCCGCCGACUACUACCAGCCCAAGGACGGCGGCGCGUACCCGCCGCCGCAGCAGCAGGCGUACGGCGCGCCGCCGCCCGUCGCCGCCAACUACUACCCGCCGCCCCAGCAGCAGCAGGCCCCGCCGCCGCCGCCGCCGGAGGCGCAGAGCCGCGGCAGCGACGGCUUCUGGAAAGGAUGGUAAUUCACAGACCACUCGUCUAACACGACACGUACUUGCGUCGUGCAUCAUGCCUGCAUGCAUACCUAACUCCAUUACCCGUAUUAGUAACUGUCCGUCUGAUCCCUCUGCAUGUUUUGUUUGUUCUGAUCUGCGUGCAGCUGUGCCGCAAUCUGCUGCUGCUGCCUGCUCGACAUGUGCCUCUGAUCGAUGUUGCACAGGAUGAUGAUCCACAUGCAGCUGCUCGCCAUCGAUCGGAUCGUCGUUUCCUUGGCACAUCUUGGAUUUGGCUUAAUUCUGUAAUCACCAUGUCGCUCAGUUACCAUACCAAUCAGUCGAUUUGCUUUGUUGCUUCUUUCUUAGCGGAACCCCUCCCUGUAAUUUGUUGGCCAUGAAUUGGAUAUGUCAAGUUAUUUUCAGCAUCCAGUACAUUCUCCAGUUGAGUUUUUGCCAUUGCGAUCAGAGAUGAAACAAAAAAUUGCUGUUCCCCGGAUGUUCCAAAGCAACCUACGGCAAUGCCAAGGGUGCCAAAUGUCAGACACCUCUUUUGUUUGUCCAUAGGUAGAAACGGCAAAUAUAAUAAAUGCGUGCUAUUUUGGAAAUAUUCGAUACUUACAGCUUCAGCAAUGCCGUGAGCUGUAGUAUUACAGUAGCACUAAUAAUAAUAAUAACCAAACUAAUACGGAAAAGCUACUCCCACCUGUCCAUAUUACUAAAUCUGUAGCAACACAGGACAGGUGGCCGGAUCCUAUGGCUUGGACUUAAACAAAAAGAAAUACGAGUAUACUACCAGUAGCAUUUCAAACCAACAGAUAGACACUGUCGAGGUGACAACCUGGUAAUCCACUCUGAUUAUUCCCUUCCUCCUUCGUGCUCAUAGCCAGUGCACCUUGUGCUUCCAAGUUCAGAUAUUUACAAGCACUGCUUAAGUUAUGUAUUUACAGAGACAUAUUCCCUACCUGUCCACAUCUUAUGUGCAUCAACGGUUUACAGUAUGUACAAUCGGCCUAGCUACUUAUGAGUUAUGUAUAUAAAUAUAGUAUGAGCCCGUAGCUAGCCACCGUGGCUGACUCCGACAGCCCUGACUUCCACAUGCUGCCGGCCUCCGCUCUCCGGGUGGACCACCACGGUGGCCUGCGCCUCGUCCAGCAGGCCAUCCUUACCCUCGCGAGACGCAGACAACGCGCCGACCAUGGCGGGGAGCUCGGGCGGCCUUUUGGCCUCGUCGCCGUCGGUGUGGGAGAUGAUCUCCCAGUCCUCCCUGACUGACGUCACGUCCCCGCAUUUCUCGUGGUGCUUCUCGACCUCGAAGAUGGUUGGGAUGACAACAUAGUCGUUGAGCGGGUCGUAGAACGGGUCAGGUUCACCCGCGUGCAGCCAGUGCUGGACUAUGCGGAACACGCGGUGGUCGCAGACGAUGCCUCGGUGGUCAGCAGCAACCCCAAUUCUCGCCACUGCAUCAAGGCCGUCCGCCUGACAAAAGAAAGGAUGAUUACGCCCAUUUUCCACGGUGCAUAUUUCCUUCAUAUGCUCAGUGAGUAAAAAGAAGGGCAAGAAGAUUAUCACACCUUUGCUGAUUCUGCGGGAACGGAUCCAUCACCAUCGACACAGAUGUAUUUACCCUGAAAUAACACAUAGUUCAGACAAAUCAAAUGGGGGCUACUUGGUGCUCCAAGAAUCCCGAAAUUUGGUAUAGACAAAACACAACAUUUACCAAAUGAACUAACCUGAGUAUAUAAGAGGUGACUAAGAUUUGAAAUAGGGUGCCGUUUGCUCCCAUAGCUGCAAAGAGAAGGGUAUUACUAACUUGGCAUACACAUUACACAACUUUAGGUUAUAAGACUUGCUUCAUACAAAAGGCAACAUAUCUUCUGAAACAGGUCACAUUUGAACAAACAUAGCAAGAGAAAGGACAGCCUCUUUUGGAAAAAGUUCAGAACUCAUUUUACUAAGCACUAUUAACCCCAGAACAUGCUAAGGCAGACAACAUCCAGUCAGUUCUUAUUUCUUGAGAAAUUUAUAAAACCCAACUAAUCCAUCAGUCAACCAAACUUCAGUGGAACCAAUCAAAAUUUUAACUGGCACAUGAAAAGAGCUAAAACUAGAAUUAAAACCAGAAGUAGAAAAGAUAGUAAAUUACCAAACAGUAUGAGCAGUGUCAUAAUCAAUCCCGUAAAUAUUGUAGAACUUCACUGAUUUUGGAAGCUUUGCCUGGGAUAAGAUAUCUUGAGUUUCCUUUGCCCAUAUUAAUAUAUCCUCAUUAAGGGGCAGAGGAAUGUGAUUUCCAUCAGCGAUAAUCUGCAAUGAUAAUUUCAUUGUCAGGAAUCUAAGCAUCAAUAGUGGUUAAAAAUUUUUGAAGUGCAAAAGAUUCACCUCAUGCUUGGAAAGAGCUUUUUGAAUCAUCUUUAUUGCUUCAUCUGGUUCAUACGACUCCAGAAUGGCACUUUUCUUACCAUUCUCAUCUGAGCUCUCUCUCCAGAUCUGUAGCAAUGGUGUAUCUUCCCAGUGGUAGGUUGAGCUAGCCAACAACUCGUAUAUUGAUGGGCAUUCAAUCAACUGAAGCACAAAAAUUAUUUUCAGUUCUUUCUCAAAAGGAAAAAUCAUGGUGACUACAUGAAUACAUGCAUUCAAUGAGACAGAUGGAUAGGCUAUCAAAGCAUACCAAUUGCUGCAUAGUCCAUUUGGAAAUGAAGAAUUUUGAUUGCCAUCCUUCCACAAAAGACAUCCCAUUCAGCAGACCACUAUUUAUGUACCCAGGCGCACCUGUCAUGCAGCAGCAAGUUACUUCCAGCUCAAGAUUCAAAGGCAAUCGCAGUUAAAAUUAGUAUCCCUUGGAAUAUUUUUCGUUGGCAUUCAACCAAUGGUUGCACAAUUGGCAGGUAUUCCAUGAAAAAUGAUACAGGUAUCAAGCUUCCACCGUAGCAACUGAGAACAUUCAAUAGAUAUUUCAAGUUUAAUUAAUGUGGAAACAAGAGAGCCUGAGAAUUUAGACACUCAAUCAACUCAAACCUUGAAAUGGUGCAGCAAUUGCAACCCAACUCUUCACAUAUUUUUCAAAGACCUGUUGAAACAAAACCACAUUAUCUAAGCAUGGCACGAAGCAUGACAAACUUCAUCAGAGGCCCAAAAUAUAAGGAGAACCGGAGAAGUACUCACAUCACCAUGAAGAGACAUGAAGCAUUUAACAAGCAAUCCCCCCAUUGAAUGUGUUAUUAGAUUGAUCUUUUUCUCUCCUGAAGCUGUGUAUACUGACUCUAGCUUUUUAGAAAAUUUGUCAAGUGUUUCCGAAAGCCUGCAGAGAAGAAGAGGUAUCAAAAUAAGGGAGGAACUGAAUAAACUGACAUUAUCUGAAAGAAAAAGCAACCCCGUAAAGAUUGUGUUCUAUACACCUACUAGCAUGGCCGCCAAAUAGCAUGACUUUUGGCCAAAAAAAAAACAUAUACAGCUGUACACGGGAUGACAUAUACAAAACAGGGAUACAGAUGCGGAAUUUACCUGUUACUUUGGCGGAAAUCAUAACCAAAUCCAAACAGAGUUUUGCCUUCUUGAUAUCCCCAUUUAAUCAUUUGCACUAUCAUGUCAUGAUAGUAGUAAACACUGUCAUCACCAAUAAUCUGCAAAUUUUUAGAAGUAUAUGAGUGGCGCAUAUCGGAUAUCUGCUGCAGUAACUGAUUUGCUACUGCUAAUAGAGUUGGACAGGACUAAGGUAAAACCAUCAGAUGAUACAUAUAGUUGUACAAUGAUCUAUUGUUCUGACUGCCUGAGACCACAUAAGUAAAUGAAAAGUAAAGGUAAAUCUUCAUUCAGAAAAAACAAAAGUGAAAUAAGUUUGUUACCAGGUCUGGGUCCAAUGUGUCGAUGGCGUACAAUCCAUACCUAUCCUCAGGGACAGUGAUGUGUAUUUUCUCAUCCACGGAAACAGUUUUGCCUGCUCCAUUACAGUAGUUUGGCAUCAAAUGACAUGACGAAAGGAAAUGCUCUGCUGAAUCAGCACUAGAUAACAUGCAACAAGAAGGAACAAGCCUUACGAGUCGGCAGUUUUUCAAUGAAAGUCACUGUAUGUCUAAUACCUACGAGCUGCUCAGAUAACUAAUCCAAACGUAACGAAAACAUUAAUUCAGAUAGAGUAUGCCGAUAUUGCAAGUGUCUACCAAACCACACAAGCUGCAUCAAUUUCCAGAUACUUGCCUUCUAAUCAUCACACAAGCAAAGCGUUCCAGCACACAAAACAGUUUACCCUUCAUUGUUUGCUUACUUUAGAUAAGCAUGUAAAACAAUCAAGCUCAUAUAACGUUCUCGAGCAAUUCAGCAAUCUAUUAACUCAUUCAGCAGGUGACAGACAGAGACAAGGAAGUAAGAGGUGCUCUGCACAUACCCGUGGAGGCAUCGAACUGCGCCCAGAGCUUCUCGCGGCACUCGUGGUCGGCGGCGAGGAUGCGCACCCAGACCCUCUCCUUGUUCCCGGCCUCGUCCACGGCCUCGAGAAUAGAGCCGCCGAUGCCGGGCACGAGCAGCACCGGGUCGAGGCUGGGGUCGACCAGCGGCACCUGCUCCUUGGCGAUCCGCAGCCACAGCUCGAUCGCCCGGAUCAGAUCCUCCAGCACCGACAUCCUUGCUUCCCCGCCGCCCAAAUCCCGCCCUAAGUAAGCACGCUCAAGCCCCCAGCCGCGAGGCCAGCAUGAGAGGGCGAGGCUUCCGGCCGAACCGGGCUCCGGCAAGCUCGAAUCGGAGCGGCACGGGGGUGGCGUGGCGUGGCGUGUCGUCGGCGGAUGGCGGGGAAUCUGCUCCGCGGUGGCUGGAGUAUAUGGUUUUGCCCGGGUUUGGACGGGGGUGGGGAUUCCGGAGGCGUGAGGGUUUCGCAAUCCCGUUCCGUACGCCAGUCGCCCGGGGAGAAAAAAAACAGCGAACGGACGGGAAGUAAGCCACGGUUUAACGCUUCCUCCUCGUGCUUUGCUUACCCGGGCGCCCUGCUAUUUCACUGACAGGGGUACCCGACCCUUGCUGGCCCCGGCUGUCCGUGGGAUGUAGGGCCGUGCGGUGUGGUACGACGGCUCGGGCUUCGGGGAGUUGUAUUUUUUGUACGGAACGAUGCAGGGACUCGCGAGAACAUAGACAGCAGUACUGCGCACGCUCUCUUUGACCCCACGUGUCGGUGUCCAGAGGAGGCUUCUGAACGCACGACUAUUCGUAUUUUUUAAUAUAUGUAUAUAUAAAUAGUCAAAGAUAGACAAGGUUUUUAGUAAGAGAAAAAGAUAGACAUGUUUGACUGAGUAGGGCGUUUCGGAGCCCGGCCUUCGUUGAGACCGGAAUUUUUGAAAAAUCAAAGUUCAAACUUCUCAGUUAAAAAGAAAACUGAAAAAAGUUGUACAUGUAUAGAAGGAUGUGAUGUGUAUGAAAUGCCUUGAAAUGCAAGCUGUGCAAAAAAAACAUGGACUUUGAGGAUGAAUAUUGCAUAUACUAAAAAGCUAUAGAUAUUUUUUCUUUUGUGUAACAUAUUUCAUCUUAAAAAAUUACACGGUUGUACAUUAUAUCUCUAAGAAUAUGUGUAUUUUUUCAAAAAAAACAUACAUGUAUGAAUUUUGAUCAUUUCAAAUUCAGUCUCUAUGGAUGCAGAGCUCCAUUCAGCAUUUUCGUAUUUGACUGUCUUUGUUAGUGUAUUCUUGAACGGAGGUUAGUCUAAUUGAUUUUGGAGCUAGUGACAUUUGUCCAGAUUUUGCAAAAGGGUCUGUCUAGGACAGUGUCACAUCUAAGCUGAUGUCCAUUUUGUUUGUGGUCUAUUUUUUUUGUCCUUAUUUUUUUUUACUUCUUGGUGCUGUAUUAUCUAUUUGUGUGAGUUUAGAUGUGACAUCCUUAAAAAACAUCUAGAUGUGAAUUAGACAAACUAUUCGCAAAAAUAAGAGUGGAAGAUUCCAAACUUCUUUCAAUAGCUUCAGUCGGACAUUUACAAUUUUGAACAGCAUUUUUUCAAAUAUUCUCAUUGGAUCUUUCAAUGUCAUAUGCUUAAAUUUGUCCCAAAAAAUGUCAAUAAGAAUCUAAACUAUCUUACUAUAGUAUAUAAGUUAACGGUCAAACUUACAAUUGGGGAUUCUUUCGACCUCGAAAGUGGCUUCCAUGUCCUUUUAAGACUAGGGGUAACACAUCUAAGAUUCAGUAAUAAUUAUAAGAUCAAUCAUCCCAGGUUCUCAUGUCAAUCCUAUUACAUUCUUUCCCAAUAGAAGAGAUUCAGAUCCAGCAUUAUGUAUACCGUCAAAUUUUACGGGAACAGCAAAACUGCAGUGCUACAAUCCAACAUCUAACAAAAUAAUAUAAAAGUACAUAUCAUGAAACUAUUUUGAAUUUAAUAGAAUUUUUAUCAAAGAAAUCUGAGUAACGAGUGAACAGGAGUACAUCUUAAGAUUUAAUGAUAAUUAGCACAAUAGAAAGAUCAAUCAUCUAGCAACAUCCUACAAGGGGUGAACCAGAGUCUCAUCUGUCCCGGCACAUUGUCUUCUCCAAGAAAAGAGAUUCAGAUUCAGCAUUCUGUAUAUCAAAUCUUAUGAGCACAGCAAAACUGCAGGGCUAUACCACCCAACAACAUCCUACAAGGGCUGAAUCAAGUGCCAUAGUAGUACAUGACAUGAUACGAUAUGCUUCCUGCGAAGCCAAUAGUAGCAGUUAACAUAAACUAACAUUGCAGGUUCAGUUUGCUGAACCGCAGGGGUUCUUCCAUCUACUCGCUUUGAUCGUCCACAGGGCAGGCUCAUCCCAGAAAUGUCAUUCGGAUCAGCGCUUCAUUUCUCCAGGUCUAUGCUCGGCUCCGGGUCGGCUGGAAGGCGCUUCUCCAGGUCCAGGCCCGGUUCCGGGUCCGAGCGAGGCUGCUUCUCCAGGUCCAGGCCCGGUUCCGGGUCCGGACGAGGCUGCUUCUCCAGGUCUAGGCUCAUCAUUUCUGGGUCUGGACGAGGUCGCUCCUCCAGGUCCAGGCUCGGUUCCGGGUCCGGAUGAGGCUGUUUUUCAAGGUCCAGGCUGGACUCCGGGUCCAGACGGAGCCGCUUGGGCUCCCGGUCGCCUAGGUGCAGCGACAUGGCGAGCUCUUCCUCUGACGGGUUGUUCAGGUUGGCGAUGCUCCUCCGAGCAUCGUGGUCACGGCGCACGGGAGACAUGCCAACGAAGUUCGAGAUGAACUGACGCUCUUCCAUGUCGGAGGGUGUGUUGGCUGCGCCCUCCCCUUCGGUUGUGGCGCUUGCCAGGUCAUGACGAGGCAGCUGCUGAAUUUGGAUCCCAAGAGGCUCAAAGAUCUCUUCAACCUUCUCUGCCGGGGUGGCUUCUGGGGCAGUAACAGUCACCGCAGAGGACUCCCCAAUAGCAGAGUUAAUUGCAGCCACAAAGGCUUUUCUUUGCUCCUGCACAGCAUCUUUAUUAUACAUGAAUUACGUCAGCCUUGUACCAUUGGAGCAAACGUAAUUCAACAUUCAAGUAUGAAAUGCCAAUAACAUGAUACUCCAGGAGAACACUGGAACAUGAAGGAAACUGUUGCGGUACUCACCUUUGAGCGAUUCGUCGUUUAUUAUAAGAUCAAGUUCUAGACGAUCAAGAAGGCGGCCAAGAUCAACCCCUGUGGUCCAGUUUUCAGGGCCAUACUCACUUGUGAGCUUUAUCCUCCCACGGUUUGCUGUGCCACCCCAUAUUAUCCCAAUAGGACGUGGCUUCUCCCCAUCCUGGCUGGUCAGGAUAAUAAGGCUUCCGCUGUCACCCUCCAAAUCAAAUGUUUGGCGGUUCUCACCAACGACGAGGAGGUCAGUGAAGAAGCAUAUUCCUUUCUCAUCAUUGUACUCAAGGGCAUAUGCCAUCACAGUCCCAGUUGUGUGACCAGAGCUUCUGCCGACUUUGCAAACUUGCCUCCCGAUGAGGCUCUUGAUAGGACACUGCAGAUCUAUAAUCUUAACAUCCCCAAUCUCACCGACUUCCCUAACUAUAGUUGUGACUGUGGAAAUGUCAAAGUCAUCAGCAAAUGGGAUGAAUGCACCGUCAGCUCGUACAAAUGUCUCUGCAGAUCCACAGAGGGGCAGCAUAUAUGUUUGGGGAUUAGAACAGCACAUAUGCAUCAUAUAAAACUGCACUAAACAGAAGGAGAAGCUUAUAAGUUUAUAAAUUUACAUAUAUAAAACAUAAACUAAGUUUUUUUUGUCCCGUAAACAGAUAUUGUUUUGUUCCUAUGUAGUCUAAAGCAAAAGUUGCUGUUGAACUGACUGACAAAAACUGGUACAAUCAGAAAGACAAGUCCUGCUUCACAAACUUAUCUUUGUGUUCGUGGAAUGCAUUAAUUUAUUCAUUUUAUGAAUUGAAGACAUUGUGUUUAAAUAGAUGAAACAUUAACUAGGCAUUUCUCUAUAACAUAUACUUUGAAGUUCAAUUCUGUGAAUAAUACAUGAAUUCCCUAUAUCAACCAGAUAACUUGUAGCUGCUCUACCUGGGUUUGUUCCAGCAUAAAUUCCAUACCAAACAUCAUCUGUGAUGAAAGAUGUUGCCCUCUCGACAGCCCCAAGAUAAACACCAGGCCCAAGAUUCGGCGGCAACGGGUGAAACAUCUUCUGGUUAGGAUAGUCCAAAUCAACUGCAACAUGUCGGUUCGUGAGGAAACCAACUUGCUUGUUGUUGGUGCGUCGUUUCACAAUUGCACCCAAAGUUCCAAACGUAUCCUGGCUUGCAACCUGAGACAGUAAAACAGCGUAUGGAGAACUCUCAGCAGGAAAUGAGAAGCAUGCCCUAUUGAAUCAUUCAAUGCCCUAUAUGCUGCUCUAACUUCUGGAGUAUAUAAUUCAGUUAUGUUUUGGAAAAAAAAACUGUCAUUCAAAAUAGUACGUGAGUUUUAAAGACGAGUGGUGACUAGAUUUAUGCAGGGGCCCAAUUGUUAAGCUGCAUAUGAUAACUUAGACCAUUCUAGUCAUUAAAUGACACAACGCUCUAGAGACUACCGGCGAGAAAGUUACUUCUGAUUGCUGAUCAGUUCACGAUGGGAUAACUCAAGUUACAUCCAGUUGGCGCUCUAGAGACCACCACAAGAAAAACGAACAAAGAUUUACUUAAACUAAACAAGAACAAAGUUAGCACUGGCAGGACUUCUAGUCGCUCUUUGUUAUGCAUAACAGUGCGAACUGACAUACUCCCUCUGUUCACUUUUAUAAGGAAUUGUAUACAUUUCAGACAGCUUGCAAAACAGCUCAAUUUCAGUUGUUUGAAACGACUUAUAAAAAUGAACGGAGGGAGUAGUAACUAUCAGCCCGUGUCAUAACCUUAUCGUCACUGCAAUUUUAUUCACUUUGUCCAAAGAAUCCUGACAAAAUUUGAACGGCCCACUGGCAAGAUAGAGAGAAUAACUAGCAGUGCAUGUCUGUGCUCAAUCCAAUUUAUACACAUGGCAGCAUUCACUGCUUAAAGAAGAUGAUAUCUAGGCAAUGCAAACCAAUACAGAUAAGAGCAUAGAUGUAUGAACCUGAGAGCCUGAACCAAUAUAUUCGUCACUGCCACACAGCUUAUUAACAAGCUCACUAAACAUCUGUUCUUUAGGUGUUUGAGCCGGUGCACCAUAGUAUGAAAAUUCUACGACAUCGACAUCACACCAAACACCUCCUGGACCCUGUAAUCAUCCAGACAAGUGAAAGAUAUUAGUCGACGACAAAAACGACUCCCAAGUCUGAAAACAAGCCUGUCCAAUAAUAUAAGACAAGAGAUAAAAUGAGGUUCUCGUACCGCAAGAAUCGCAGGAAGGCAUUGGUUCGGAUUAAGCCAUUUCUUGUGAACCUUUCGAGCAACGAAGACAAGAAUGGCGGGGGUUUCUGUGAGAACCCCUUUUGUUAUGCGGAAGCCCACUGCGGUUCCGAGACUGAAACGCUUCAAUAUCUUGCUGUGGAAAGCUCUUAUGGUCAUCAAGUCGAGCAAGCUAUUUGCUUGCUGACCCUUGGGCAACUUUCCAGGGAGUAUCGGCAGCAAUCCUUUCUGGAGGUUCCCAAAGUAGUUUGCCCGUCCCUCCGCCGCACAAUGCUGCAGGUUUGAAGUCGGCCAUAAGAAGUAUGCCGCGCUAUUUUCUGUGUGCACGCACCCAGAAGCAACUGGUUGCAUCGAUGGAGAACAAGGAAAUGCCUCGUGGUGAGAGCAAUGCCCCUCCACGUCAAGCGAUGACUCUUCCGACUGCGUCAAACCUGAGAGCUGCAUCCUGUCAUCUGAAGGCCUCAUUGUGCCGAACAGUUGACAGAUGUGAUGGACAGGAGAAGCUAUGGCCCUAAAAAUGAGAACAAACAAGUCUGAGAACAUAAUCUUUCAAGGUAAAAAUGUCAGGAGACACUGGACAAAUCUAGCAAAUGUGUUUGCGCUCUAUAACUUGCAUCGGACCGGGAAAUAUAUGCUGAAACUAAGAGCAUCCAGGUUAUUAUUAUACACAAGAGAAUAAACAAGUGCUGGUGGAAUAGCCUGAUAUUCUCGGGGAAUAGGUUCUUGCAAGAUUGCAACCACGCAAACAAAAGCUGGUAAUAUCAUAAGAGGAAUCCUCUGUACGACGAAUAUGACCCACUAUAUAUGUGUAUAUUCUUGCUGCGCAUCCGCCGCAGAACCAAGCAGGCAAUAUCAUAAGAUGGUGGAAUCUGCAAAAGCCAGAGGGCGAAGGAAGUCUCCAUCCGUUUGUUCGCGAAAGGCAUGGCACAAAUUCUGCCUUUAAACAGCGGGAAUGGGCAUAAAUCCACAUCACAACUACUUGUGAUGAUAACAAAAAUACCGGCGCAAAAAGGGUAGGGCCUAGACGCAAAUUCAGCAGGCGGCACCGCGGGUGAAGUUUGGCAAAGGCAUCGUGCACUUUGUUGAAAGAGAAAAGGCAUAAUCAAAAUCAGAAGCAACCCGCCGACCAGAAAUCGGGGGGAACAAACAGCAAGCGCUCUCUCCUUGUUCCAGCCAAUAGCAGGCCUGAAAUCGGUUUUGCUGGAGCAAUGCAACUUUAACCUGAAGCUGAAGGCACGCGAGCUGGAUUGGUGCUGGUUGCUUGUAGGAGGAACAGAGCGGCAACGGAAGUCCCCUGGUGAUGAGUCUUGGGAGGCCGAGCUGCUAAGCUUUCCGUGGCAUUUGGCCCCGGAAGCGCGGCCCGCAAGGGAGGCGGAAGGAAAUAAGAAGAGGAACACCUGAAGCUGUUGCUGUGCAGGCAUCAGGAAAUUCCCAUGGCACUGGUAGGGAGCAACAACCUGGUAUUACCAGAUUGGCAAUCCAACCACCAGAGGGACAAGCAGCCCCGCCUAGGAAUGGAAACCACGGGCCGCGAGGAAAAAGGGAUACGAGGGACAGAAAAAGAAACCGGGCAAAUCGAGGAAGACGGCGCAAAGAUCCUGCCGCCCCGGGGGCCAGCGAAAGAUCCGGCCAUCCGGCCUUCGGGUAGGACUCCGGGCAGGGGAGGGAGGGAGGGGUCGGAGCCGCUCACCUGGAGCCGGAGCAAUGGCCGCGGCCUCGCGCCUCGUCCUCCCCUCCUAUCUUCUUCUCCUCCCCGCGCGGGUAUCCAUAAUUGGGGGCGGGGAGGCGGGAAUCUCCACUGUUAUUAGGGGCGAGGCGAGGCCCGGGGGCAGAAGAUGACAGCUUUGCAGUCGCAGGCGGCGUCCCUCCCCUGCCCAGCCCCCCCUCUCACUGUUGGGGCCGUGUGCGCGGCAGCAGCGGCAUGCGUGCGCCGCACAAACACCACAAGAAGAGGCUAGAGAGAGAGAGGAAUGGGGAGGAGGCGCUGGGAAUCUAGGGGCGGGGAGCUCGAUCAGCAGCUAGCCGGUGGUGGUGAUCAUGGCGUGGCGUGGUGGUCACAGAUUGGGGUGCGGUGAACAACAACUUCACUGUGGCGCCGUGUGAUGUGUCGAUCCGUGUGUCGAGCCGGGGCCUGUGGCCGCAUAGUCGUCCGUGUCGCGCGGUGCAACGGACGGCCCGGAUGGGUCGCGGCCGGGGCGAGGGGACGUGGCCCGCUCCUGGCCGCUCGAUCCUGGGGGGUUUCGGCCUCCUUUGAACAAGGUGCACUUUUGGCCGUGUCAUGUCACAUAUAUUAUCGACAAUGACAAUAUGAAAGUGAUAGGGAAAAUGAAGAUUAAUGGAGUUGACCCGUCGUAGAGGGUCGGAUGUAAACACAUUUUUCUAACAUGUAUUUGGGAUAACAAUUAAUAAGAUUUAAACGCAAGAGUACUGGACUAAGGCCCAAUUCUUUUGGUGGCUUCUAAAGUACUAAGCGGCCCUUGCAAGCUUAUUUCAUAAGCCGUCCCCAAAGAACCAGACCUAAGAAAUUGAACUUGAUAUGUAACUAUCCAAAUUUGAUGCGGUCUUAAAAAUACUAUGUCUCCGCUCAAAUUUUCCAAUGCAAAUAUGUUAUUUUACUGAGUGACUAUAGCUCAAUCUCGUAGUUGGAUUGGAUGGUUAAGAACAAUUCUUUCUUGGUAGCUUGAAUAUUUGAUCAAAUGUUAUUUGAUAAUCUAGGCUCCCAAAUGAUUGCCACAUCACAAGUGAAGGAAAUAUGCUAUUUUUUGUAAGUUUGUCGCAAUUGCUAUUUUUGUGGACCAGAAAUAGUAACAUUUAUAUGAGCCAGAAAUAGUAACAUUUAUGUGGGUCGAGACAAAAGAGAUAGUAACAAGUGGCCUGAUCAUUUUUUUGCUUUAUGGUGUGGUGCCAUAUUUAUGGUGUCUAGCUCAUGAAAAGUCCCUAUGUUCUAUUCUAUAGCUUCAUCAAAUAAAAGUGAAAAAGGACACAUGCAUACUAUUCUGGCACUAUAGAACAAUUUCAUAGCAAUGUAAAACAUUAAACACUCCCAAUACUGGGUUUUAUGCAUGUUCUAGUAAAAAGGGUGAAAGUGCAUCUAAUCCCCAAGGGGAAUUUUGGUAAUUUAUAUCAAGAUAUCUCAAAGAACUAAUGCUAGUUUAAAGUAUACUUCAUCCGUUCCAAAAUAUAAGUCUUUUUAUAGAUUUUAACAAGUGACUACAUAUGGAGCAAAAUAAAUGAAUCUAUACUCUAAAAUAUGUCUACAUACAUCCGUAUGUUGUAGUCCAUUUGAAAUGUCUAAAAAAACUUAUAUUUAGGAACGAAGGGAGUAUUUCAGAAAACAACAGGAAUAGCGUUGGAAUGGAAGGUGAUCACUAAAAAUGCUUAAAGACAAUUGUUGGACAAGCCAAAGGAUUCUUCUUUUUUCCGUGAUCCAAUAUCGCAUUGAGUAUAUAGGCAUGACGAUACUAUCAAAAUGGGAUGAGGACUUGUGAGCCUUUUGCUCCAUGUGCUUAGAGAUCAAACUCCUUCAAGUUUUCGACUAUAUCUCCUAAUGACAUGCAACUCGAUGAUGCCAAAGCACUUCCACUCGAAACCACCAUACCAUCCAGAUAUAGUCGUUGUUCCAAACCCUAUUUCAAUCGACGCCUCAAGCAUCCCAUUCAGAGCCACCGAAGAAACCUCAUAAACCUUCUAUUGUCACGUCAGAAAUUCUGAGCCAUUCUAGUUGAAACUUUUGAAGUGCUGACAAUGAGUGUACCACCACUGAGGUACUCACUUCAGAACCACUGAUUGAUUUCCAUUCAAACCUAUCGAUGCAUAUGAAACUUUUCACUUCUGAGCCAUCGAGCAACACCAAUCGGAGUCUCUGAGUUGUGCAAAAAGGUGAGUAAUGGUCAGAUUCUUGGCCCGGUUUAUAUAUACCCCUAGCUAUCCUACUAGCUCAUCUCGAAGCAAACUCCACUUCCAUCAUUUGUUCUGAGAAAGAACGCCACCUCCUUGUGUUGGUUUCAAAGUACUUUCUACUCCGACCAUCCAAUCAAACCCUUUGAUAUAAAACCCCCUCUUUGUUUCCACUCCUACUUCUCCAAAUCCAUAGCUAAAUCUUGAACAUGUUUGAGUGUUGAGUAGAUUAUCUUUUGAAGCGCAUCAACAAGGGAUUUAUUGUCAACAACCUCUAUCUUGUUACUUUGGGAGGGUGUGCACCUCCUGGAUCGGCUAUGUGUUGCUUGGGAGUCUUCAACUUUGUGAAGAACCCAAAAAAGUUUGUAUGGGUUUAGAGACCGCGUACUUCGCGAAGGUCUACCCUGGUGAGGCUAGUACUUCGUGGGCAUAAGCCAUGGUGGAAUAGUUUGGUUGCUAAUUCGUGGAGCCUUCAUGGGCAUGUCCUUCAUGGACAUUAUUCCUUUGUGGAAUUUUGCAACCGAAAUCCUUGUGAUCUUAGAUCCUUCCUGGACAAAAGCCUCCAUCAACGUGCAUGUAAGAUGGCGUCAAUUAUCCAAACCACGGGAAAAAUCUUCAACAAGCCAAUUGCGCUUGCGAUUUUCACAACUCUGCCUCUCUUACUUUGUACUUGCAUGUCUUUACUUUCCACUGCCUAUAUUCUAGACUUGCAUGUAUAUGGUGCUCUAUAGAUUGCUAGAAAAGCCUAAAAUCUGCCAAGAAAUUAAAACUUGGGAACAUAUUCCAUUAUUUUCCUUAGUAGUCUAUUCGACCACUUCCCUCUAUACAUACUUACCAAUCCUACAAAGGGGUAACCUAAACCAAAUGCAACUUGCUAUUUUAAGAGGUAGGCCUCAUCCGGUCCAUAAGAUAGAAAAAUCAUGGGAAUAGGAAAGUCAUCAGAGUUCCUAUAAGAAAAUAUAUGUCACUUGGUUCAUGGGAUACGAAUGUUUCCAUUGGGUCCGAGCUAAAAUAAUUCCUUUGAAAUCCAAAAGACAUGAAGCAAUCCUACAUAGGAAUAGGAAUCCACACAUAUGAACCAAAUAGCUCAAUAGGAAUUUUCCUUUAGCAAUAUUAUCCUAUAGGAUUCCUAUAAAUAAAAGGAGGCCUUAAUGUGUGCUGUAUGAAAUAGAAUGAAAGAAAAAGUGGACAUGACUCAAUAUAUCGUUUGUGCAUCUUUCGUUUCUAUUCAUCCGCAAGUGGUAUGAAUACAACAUAUCCUAGACAUGUUUAGUGUCAAAUCUUGUCGCACACCAAAUUGAAUAACUUUCUUUUUAAUAAAAUUUGGGCCACAUAUAUUUGAGGCCAACACUGUUAGCACUAUUAUACAACUAUAUGGAAUCAAAUGUGUUAUCUGCCACACUGCUUCACGUUUUAUUGAUUUUUCAAAAUUUCUGUGGAACCUAGUAUAUUUCUUAACAAGUCAUCAAUUAUGUUAGAAAUGAAGGUGUACCUUUGUUUGCCAGGUGAAAUAUGAAUGAUUUUCCAAAAUGGAACUAGCUAACACUUUUUUUGUUAAGCUAGGUUGUUGAACAUUUUCUAGUUUACAUUGGUCGAAAGACUACUUGUUUCCCUUGUCUUGAUUUUUUGGUCGGGUUGCUUUAUGUGUUUCUAGAGAAAACACAUAACAAUACAUUCUUUGACCCCACUAAUUUAAAAGUGAUAGAAACAUAACAACAGUUCCAUACUUCAAAACUAUUAUUCCUAUGACAAAUAAAAUACUAGGCAUAAAUGUGGAUGCAUGCUUUUGCCGAAUGUCUAUGGAAUGUUAAAAUGGUCGAUCUUCAACUUCUCAUCAUAUAUACAUAACAACAGAAAAAUGAAACAUAUGUGUGAUACGUGGCUGGAUCAUAGGACCCUUUUAGUCCCGCCACGUAUAUAAUUUUAUGGAGGAUGAUAAUAUGGAGAGAAUAUAACAAAAUACAAGAGUUGACUCAUUGUGGAGGGUUGAACUUACAAAGAAUCAUAACUUUGGUAGCACGUUAAACAUUAUUUUCUAACAUACAUGUCAGAUAACUGGAUUUAAAUAAGAGAGUGACAACCUUACGGAAUGGAGGACUUGAUGUGAACUUACAAUUUUCCACUCAAAUUUUGCAAAACAAAUGUCUAACAUUUGUCAAGGUAUUGUGGCUCGGUUGACUAUUCAAAAAUAUUUAUUUCUUGGUCGGUAGUAAGUUCUUACUGUUCUUUCUUGUGGGAUAUUGUUCUUUUUGUGCUUGCACAGAGCUUGUGUUUAAAUCAAAUGAUCUUAGUUGUGACUUAGCAAUAAUUAUAUCUCGGUCCCCAUUAUCUUAAUAACAUAGGCUCCAGUAACAUUGUUAUAUAAGAAAUAAAUGAAACUCAUAAUUACUAAUAAUAUUUUUUGGGGGUAGUAAGUUUGUUGCAACUUCCUAUAUGCCAAUCAUAAAUAGUACAUAACACUUGUGUUCAUCAAGAUAAACUAGACAUGACAAUCAACCUAUGCCAUAUUGCUUUACUGAUUUGACUUUAUUUAUUUUCUUAGUACAUCUGGUUAUCAAUUCCAUGAAAAAUGCUUAUGUUACAUCUUACAUCUUCAAUAAACAUUAAUAAAAGAUAAUGUCAUCAAAACAUGUUCUGGCUUACAAAUAAUUGGAUAGAAACUAACAUGAAACAUGCUGAUGUGAAGUUCUUAUAAUGAUUUGGUGUAAAUAACAAAAAUAAUUGCAGUAUGCUAUAUGUGUCCAAGAUAAUGUGUAUUGGAUGGAACACAAUGAAACAAAAACCGAAACACAAUGCAAGCAAAAUCGAUCUGGCUCACUUUUAGUAACAUUAAAACAUCUUUGACUCUUCUUUUCUCUAAAAGUGUCCCCAAUCAAAACAUCUUUAGGGAUGUUUAAUGCACAUAUAUUCGAGCCCAACAACGUUAUAUGCAACCAGUGGCGGAGCUACCCAAAAAAUGUUGGGCGGACCGGAUAGUGCAAAUAGCGCUACCAAAUUAAAAACCAAUGCAUUAUUGUGGGAUUAGCUUUAUGUAAAACUCCUUUUUGAUACGGCCCAGGGUGGCCCAUGGCCCUUUGAGCCUUGCCAUAGCUCUACUGGUGUAUGCAACUAUACAAAUGUAGAUGUGUUAUCUACCAUAUUUCUACAUUGUUGUGGAACAUCCUCUAUUAUUCUUUUGACUUUUCCAUGUUUCUACAUGAUAACGAAAAUGUUCCUUUUACAAUAUGCUACCAUAUGCCUUAUAAAUAAAGGUGUCAUGUCGCAGGCACAUGACAUGUCAAUGGCAAGUAGUUGACAAGUAGCUAGCAACCACUUUUGGAUGAGGUUGUUGCAAAUUUUACUAGUUUGCGUGAACAAAAACAUUGCUUGUUUUGAUUGAAUUACAUGCGCCAUCUAAUUCACUCCAAAUUUAAAAUUCAUGGAAAUGUCAGGAGAUAUACUUAACACUCGUCACCACAUCUAGCUAUAUCAUGUAGUAUUAGAUGGGAUCAAUGUAGGCCCCAAAUAUGUCUAGUCUAUGCCAGGUCUUAGCUGUGGGGUAAAUGUAGACUACAUUUUUUAAAUAAAUUAUUGCCUUGGUCGGAUCUUAAACUCAAGAUGUCUCGGCAUUGAUACCAUAUUGAAUUUCUUGCAAGAGGAUGUUUGACCAAAAGUCUGAAAUGUUGAUGAAUCAUAGGCAAAAAAAUUAGUGUUUUUCCUAGUGUGAUUAUUUCCUGGGUUGUUGUCCAUCACAUCGAACUUCUUGAUUUUAGCAUGUAAAGUCAUAACUCUACAAUAUUGUUCAUAAAUAUUGGCACAUUAUUUCUCUAAAUGAGUCACAAUGUUAAAAUUAUGGUCCUUUUCAGCUUCUUCGCAUGCAUACAUAAUGUGCGGAAAGAAAUAAUCAAACCAUUUUUCAAACAAAUAACAUAUUUUCAUAACACUAUACUGGUGUUGCAUUCUCCUUUGUCGGCACUUUAAGAAGACAACAACAACUCUUAGAGUGAAAUAAAGUAAACAAAAAGUUCACCCAAAAGUUAAGUGGCAAACUAAAGGAAACAAAUGCAUGUAUAAGCCAACAUAGACGUAACAUCGUGUCUCCAUAUUUUCUUCUCUCUUCCUCCUUAUAGUCCCUUCAUUCAGGUUUAAAGGGUCGUCCAGCCACCAAGCCAUGUUUAGAAAAAUUAGGCCCCACGUGCUAAACAUGCACCAAUAUAUGUGUUUUUCUAUUCUCUACUCUCUAUGUUGCGUCUUGUUUUCUGUGCAUAAUUAGGAGGCUUGCAUGCAUGUGAGUGCAUGCAAACUGUACCUACAACCCGCCUCAGCUAGUCAUAGUGGGAGUAACUUAGAUAGUAACAUAGCGCACUUCGAGAAAUUUUGCUUAUGUGACAUGUAGUUACUGAGAAGUGGUAACAUAAUAUGUUACUGUAACAUAGCGCUUACCAAGACAAGAUGAGUCUACAAGCCAUUAAAUAAAGUUACAUAUGACACUACUAGUAUGUUAUUUUGCACUAUGAAGAUAAUAACUUAGACUAGUGUCAUAUGCAUGACACUAGUAUAAGUUACUCCCCACUAUGACCAGCCUCAUGCUAGUGCCUCGUUUCCUGCGUGUGCAAUUAGCAUGUGUUUGAUAGGGUGCAUGAGGACAAAAGUUUCCUACUCAAUCCAUUUUUGGGUGUUUGGUAGCCUACACGGGUCCUCCUCAGCAUGCAGGAGCUCAACCCAAAUACCCUCCUAGCAUCCACAAGGGAGAACACCCAAGCAGCUGUUCGCUGGUCAGCAUGCACGAGUGAAGCGAGCGAUGAUGUGUUUCAAAAAAUCUACAAAAAAUCAAUAUUUGUUUUUUUUCAAAAAAGUCCAUAAUUCCAAAUUUUGUUUAAAUUUGCAGAAAAUGUUCAGAAUUCAUAAUUGAUCAAAUAUUUAAAAAAAAUCAGGUUUUUCAGAAAUGUUAAGAUUUUUUAAAAUAUUCAGAAUUCCAAAUUUAGUUCAUUUUUAAAAAAAAAAACCAGAAUUUCAAAGAUUGUUUAAACUUUCAAAAUUCCAAAUUUUGUUCAAAAUUAAAAAAUGCAAAAAAAUUCAGUAUUUAAAAUUUUGUUCAAAUUUUAAAAAAAAUGCAAAAAAGUUCAGUAUUUCAAAAAAAUAGUAUUCAAAUUUUGUUUAAAACUUUAAAAAAUGUUGAGAAUUCCAAGUUUGAAUAAUUUGUUUUUAAAAAUGAUUAAAUAUUUCUUUUCAUAUUUUCGAAAAUUGUUCACGGUUUUCAAUUUUUAUUCAUCAAUAGAAAAACAUUCAUAAUUCGAAUUUGUUCAGCUUGUCUGAAUAGAUGUAUAGUGUGAGACAAAGUCUCAGCUCAAGAUGUCUCAGCACAUACGACGCUACCAAACAACAACAAAUACAUGUACUUAGCAUGCAUCAGAGGAAAACAAUCAUGCUACACUUAAAGGUUUGCAUGCAAGCCGCUGUGAAGCGAAAGGCUCAUCAUUUUUCAUUUACUGUAAGCUGGAUUAAAGGUCGGUGAUUGGUCGGUUUAAGCUGUAAUUUUCACACACAUCCUUUCAGCAGCGCCUUGGUCCUGCCAAAAUGUUCGUUGAGCUUAAGGCUGGUCAUAAUGGGCAAGAACAUAAGCUAGUAACUUACACACUUCCCUAGACUAUGUUACUAUCUUCAUAGUGGAUAGGAACAUCUAUAUAGUGUCAUGCAACGAUGUAUUUAUUAGGUUAGACUCAUUGUUUUUUGGAGUGUGUGAUGUUCUGGUAACUUAGCUAGUUACCACAAGCACCUCUCUCUUCAUUAAAUAUGUGUCACAUAAGUAAAGUUGUAUUGGAGUGUGUGAUGUUACUCCUAAGUUCCUCCUCAUUGUGCACGGACAGAGGUAGGCCUUGUGACGUAUCGACGCCGCCGCAAACGCAAACGCCAUGAUGAAUUGAUGUAUGUAAACAUCGACAUGUUGCACCCUCCGAGAGAUGCGUCUUGCGCUCUUGCUGCGCCUGAAACGGCGUGGGAAGGACGACGUACCCGCUGCCCGAAACUUGAACCGCAACCGGCCAGCCCAGCCCCGGUCCUGAACCCACUUGGUACGUCGCCACGCCAAACGGUCGCAGCCUUUUCUCGUCCACCAGUCUCUCUGAGGCUCUGAGCCCCCGCGCGCGCACGGUCGGCGGCCCCGGCCCCAUGAUGGCCGUCGUACAGCCUCCUGUAGCCAGAAAGCGCCCGGACGCUGCCGCCGCGCCCGUGGCCGCGCGACGCCCACGUCGCCCCCGCCCCCCGCCGCUGCGAAAAGAGAGAGAGAGUUAUUGGGAUGGGCUCUGCUGCCGCCGCGCCUGCGCGUGAAAUUAAGAGUAACCGGGCGAGCGAGCGAGCGUGCAGUGGAGCUGCGGAAGGGAAGGGCCAGAGAGAAGCGACGAGGGCGGGGCGGUGCGGCGCGGGGCAGGAUAGGGUUGGGCUUUGCGGCAGGGUGGGAGACCACGCUAGUAGUUCCACGUAGUACGAGCGCAGCUAGCCUUAGCGCCAUUGCCUCCGUGCUUGCUUGCCGCUCCUUUGACCGCGCUGUGACUGUGAUAUCCCCCAUUAAUUCAGAUCGCCAUCAUCAUGGCCAGGGCAGGCCAGCUGAUCCUCCUUUGAUUUGAUUUGGCGCCACCCCGCAUCGCGCAACAGUGGCACGUUUCCUCUCUCCUCUCCUCUGGUCCACUUGGCGGCCGCCCGGUCUCGGAUCCGACGCCCGGGCCACGAGCUGGGCGGACGGCGCGCGUCCGAUCGGGAAUGGGCGAGUGGGAUCGGCUGCCCGAGACCCGCGAGCGGGAGUGGAGUGCUACUCUGGCCCCGGUACGUGCACUGUACUUGGAGAUAUUGGUGGCUGCAUGAAUGGGCGUGCCGGAAGAAAGCCUAGCCUAGCGAAUGGGGGUGGGGGACCGGGGUAGGAGUAAUUUGACGUUUAUCUGCCGCACACCCGCGUGUACCACAGUAAUGCCCUGUGAGAUUCCAAGUGUCUUUUCGUACUACUCAUAGACUUCUCAUGAGUGGUAGAUUUUUUUAGUCUCGUUUAAAAUAGUACUCCCUCCAUUCACAAAUUUAUGCUGUUUUGAAUAUUUUAAUACAAAUUACAUACGGAUAGAAAUGAGUCAAUAAACACACUAAAACAUGUUUACACACAUUUGAUUUACAAAAAUGUAAAAAAAAGUUAUAUUAGUGAACGGAGGUAAAUGUACUUUCCAAUGGCCGCCCUUGCACGACUAGCUACAACGGCUAUUGUCCCCAGCCUCCUACCUCCGCCAACCAACCCUACGGACUCAUUUGUUCAUAGGAAAAGUGAAGGUAAAUUGUAGUAAUAGAAGAAAAAAAAUCUAUGAUGAUAUUGUUUAUGUGUUUGGGUUAAAGGAAUGGGGUAAAGAAAUAAUGGAGGAAAUUUUCCUUUGGACCCAAUCUUAAAAGAAAAACAAUUCUAAACUCUGUUUGGACCUCCUUUUCAAAUUCCUUAAUGACAUAAUAACAUUCUAGCUAUACAGAUAAAAUUUAACUUGACUAUGUAUUUGGAUUCCUGUGAACCAAACAUCUAAUUUGACAACAUUCAUGUGCUUAUCAUCCCUUUAUUUUGCACAAGCUAUAUAUAGAGGUACUACUACUAGCAGCAGCAACAACAACUACAAGUCGCAAAAAAAGAACAAAUAUAACAACAAAUUCAUACGCUAUGUAGAUGUGGUGGUUUCCCGCGGCUUGGUUGUUGUGCGUGCCAGCAUGCAAUGGCUGCCUGUAAUGGGUUUCAGCCGCUUGGCCUGCCAAUCCAAGGCUCUUGGUGGCUUGUCCCAGUGAGCGGCGAUGUGGUGGUCGUUGUUUUGACCUGGGGCCGUCUUUGGCCAUGGUGGUAGGUAGUACUCCCUUCGUUUUUAUUUAGUCUGCAUAUUAGCUUUGGUCAAAGUCAAGCUUUAUGAACUUUGACCAGAUUCAUAAACAAAAAUAUUAACAUAUACAAUAAAAAAUCAAUACCACUAGAUUCAUUAUUGAAUGUACUUUCACAUCAUAUAGAUUUGUUAUGGUAAAAUAUUUAUAUAUUUUUCUAUAAACUUGGUCAAACUUUACAAAGUUUGACUUUAGUUAAACCUAAUAUGCAGACUAAAUAAAAACGGAGGGAGUAGCGUCGCUCCUGCGUGAGUACCAGGGGCGAAACCUCAAGCAGUCGGGCCGGCCCCAACCAGAAGUGUGGGAGCAUGGUGAUGGUUCGCUAUGGGAAACAGGACGUGCUCCACCGGCCCUUGCCCCAAGCCGUUGUCACCAAUGGCUCCCACCAAGGAUGGAUCAGCCUCACCAAGGACGCGUGCAUUGGCUGCAAACGCCAACCUAGACGACGCAGAAUAAUGCGAUGACACCGUGACGACUACGAGCGGCAUUUUAGACAAUGCAGAAUGAUGAGACGACGGUGGCGAUAGCCCUGCACGUGGCAGACCUGGCACACUGUGUUCGAUGCGCACUAGCAAUCAUUUGGCUGCCGAUGCAAGUAUUCGAUGUUGAUGGUUGGUCAUGCCAUUGGUAUCUACUCCCUUCGUUCCUAAAUAUUUGUCUUUCUUGAUAUUUUAAUAAAUGACUAUAUACGAAGCAAAAUAAGUGAAUCUACAUUUUAAAAUAUGUCUACAUACAUCCGUAUGUGAUAGCCAUUUAAAAUGUUUAGAAAGAUAAUUAUUUAGAAACAGAGGGAGUAGCUGACAUCUUGCUAGGCGUCAUCUGUUCACACAAGGGACCCGAGGGCAAUGACCAUGAGGACGUAGUGGAUGUUGCAGGCCGGUUCACGUCGAUGUGAAGUACGACACAUCGGCUUCACAUCAUGGCCGACCCCUCGAUGACUGUGUUGAUGGUCUAUGCUGGGAACAUACCCCUCCCCAAUUUGCUAGCGCCACUACGACUUGGCUUGGAGUAUUGGCAGACGUGACUACAGAGGGUUCAUUUUCAAGAAGGUGAUUAAAACACCGCUUCAUGUCCGAGAUGAAAACACUUUGUCUGGUCUUUAAUGGCCGAGCUCAGCGGGGAUGAAUUUGUGUCGCUAUCGUGUUGAAUGUGUUGUCUUUUUGUUGUUGUGCUGACCUUUAGUGAUUGACCGCGACACUAAAAUGAAAAUCCUUGUCCUGGCCAUCUCGGGCCGAGCGUGAGAAUGUCGUGAGAUUAUUUAUCCUUCUUGAAGACAUUGUUGUGGAUGAAGUCGACUUAGUCAUAAGUAUUUUAUUCAUAUCAUGUAACGAUUCUAUCAUAGUUGGCUUUAUUUUGUAGUAUUCCACUUGUUGAUAACUUUAUUCAUAUCAUGAAUGUGUGCAUCACAAUGACGUACAGGUCGGGCGUUUCAACUUCAUUGUUGGAUAAAAGUGGAAAAUGCGGAGGUGUGGGUGAACCAUUAAAACCCCUAAAAUCUCACAAGUUCUUUGGAUGUACAAAAAAAAUUCAUUUUGUACUCAGAAAUUAAAAUGCAACCUCUUUCAUCAUUCCAUGACAGUAUGGGUGUGCGGAGAUGGCCCACAUUUUCCCUGUGACCUUUCAUUCAUCCGAUCUUUGGAGGAUGGUGAACAGCGCAUGUUGAAAACUUUGGACUCAUCUCAAUAUGUUAUUAUUUAAUAGUAUAGGUAAUGAAGGUGGUGCAUGGAAUGUGGUACACUUUUGGAUUCACCCACAUAUGUAGGCUUUAAAAUGGCAUCUGUUCCUUCGGCCCUUGUCAUCCAGCUGUCACCUACAAAAAGUUCACUUGGGGAUCUCGUGGAAGAAUGAGUACCACGUGGGUCUAAGAGCAUGUACAGCUGUCUCAAACCCGUCUCAUCUGUUCGGGCGGGCCGCCCGGUCACUAUCCAAUCAUGUUUUUUUAUCCAGACAGUCUCCUCAAACUGCCCUCAAACGCUCGGUCUGACCUCAUAUCCAGCCCAAAUAUGAGACGGAUAUGGGACGUCCGGGCACGCUCACCACGUCGGACCCGAUAGCCCGACCCCAUCCCAAAGUACAUCAAAUCCAUCCCAGAGCUGCCGGAUCCAUUUGCUCUUUCCUAUCUUCUUCCUCCUUCGCGCCGUCCGGCUCGCAGCUCCGCCGCCGUGCGCGCUCCGCAACCGUUCCUAGCCUCUGCGCCAGCAGCUCCGGUGGAGCAGUCCUCUCUCCCAUCCUCGCCGUGAGGGACGUCAUCUCCGUCCGGACGCCACCGAGGUACGUCCGGCAACUCUAUGACUCCGCCUUGUGCUUGAUGUGUUCGACACAUUGUCUGACCGGAUUUUUUGUAAUUUUGUUAGGGAAAACGAUGGAUUCCGAUGCUUCGUCGGACGAGAGUAUGGAUAGAUGGAGCUUGACCAAAUGAUUCAGGAUGAAUUUUUCGAUUCCUCAGAUUCGAACGAAGAAGUGGACAUGACCAUGCUCAUGAGCAUGCAAGAGGAAAUGGACCGCCAAGUGGAACAUAUUCUCAACUUCAAAGGCUUAAUCAAAGAAAGAAGAAUGAUCGAUCGAGAUAGGGUGUGAUAACCCACAAGUAUAGGGGAUCGCAACAGCUUUCGAGAGUAGAAUAUUCAACCUAAAUUUAUUGAUUCGACACAAGGGGAGCCAAAGAAUAUUCUCAAGUAUUAGCAGCUGAGUUGUCAAUUCAACCACACCUGGAAACUUAGUAUCUACAGCAAAGUGUUUAGUAGCACAAUAAUAUGAUAGUGGUGGUAGCGGCAACAAAAGUAAUGUUUUUGGUAUUUUGUAGUGAUUGUAACAGUAGCAGCGGGAAAGUAAAUAAACGUAAACCAGUAUAUGGAAAACUCGUAGGCACCGAAUCAGUGAUGGAUAAUUAUGCCGGAUGCGGUUCAUCAUGUAACAGUCAUAACAUAGGGUGACACAGAACUAGCUCCAGUUUAUCAAUGUAAUGUAGGCAUGUAUUCCGUAUAUAGUCAUACGUGCUUAUGGAAAAGAACUUGCAUGACAUCUUUUGUCCUACCCUCCCGUGGCAGCGGGGUCCUAUUGAAACUUAAGGGAUAUUAAGGCCUUCUUUUAAUAGAGAACCGGAACAAAGCAUUAGCACAUAGUGAAUACAUGAACUCCUCAAACUAUGGUCAUCACCGAGAGUGGUCCCGAUUAUUGUCACUUCAGGGUUGCCGGAUCAUAACACAUAGUAGGUGACUAUAGACUUGCAAGAUAGGAUCAAGAAGUCACAUAUAUUCAUGAAAACAUAAUAGGUUCAGAUCUGAAAUCAUGACACUCGGGCCCUAGUGACAAGCAUUAAGCAUAGCAAAGUCAUAGCAACAUCAAUCUCAGAACAUAAUGGAUACUAAGGAUCAAAACCUAACAAAACUAACUCAAUUACAUGAUAAAUCUCAUCCAACCCAUCACCGUCCAGCAAGCCUAUGAUGGAAUUACUCACGCACGGCGGUGAGCAUCAUGAAAUUGGUGAUGGAGGAUGGUUGAUGAUGACGACGGCGACGAACCCCCCUCUCCGGAGCCCCGAACGGACUCCAGAUCAGCCCUCCCGAGAGGUUUUAGGGCUUGACGGCGUUUCCGUAUCGUAAAACGCGAUGAUUUCUUCUCUUUGAUUUUUUUCUCUCCAAAAGCAAAUAUAUAGAGUUGGAGUUGGCGUCGGAGGGCAUCCAGGGGGCCCACGAGGUAGGGGGGCGCGCCCUAGGGGGGGGCACCCUUGUGAGAAGGGUGUGGGCCCCCUGGUCUUCAUAUUUGGCGAGGAUUUUUUGUUAUUUUUUCUAAGAUGUUCCGUGGAGUUUCAGGUCAUUCCGAGAAUAUUUGUUUUCUGCACAUAAAACAACACCAUGGCAAUUCUGCUGAAAACAGCGUUAGUUCGGGUUAGUUCCAUUCAAAUCAUACAAGUUAGAGUCCAAAACAAGGGCAAAAGUGUUUGAAAAAGUAGAUACAACGGAGACGUAUCAACUCCCCCAAGUUUAAACCCUUGCUUGUCCUCAAGCAAUUCAGUUGACAAACUGAAAGAAAGAAAAACUUUUACAAACUCUGUUUGCUCUUGUUGUUGUAACUAUGUCAAGCCAGCAUUCAAGUUUUCAGCAUAGAUCAUAACUAACCACAUUUGCAAUAAUUCUCAGGUCUCAUAAUUACUCAUAUCAAUAGCAUAAUCAACUAGCAAGUCAUAAUAAUAAAUCUCGGAUGACAACACUUUCUCAAAACAAUCAUAAUAUGAUAUAAAAAGAUGGUAUCUCGCUAGCCCUUUCUAAGACCGCAAAACAUAAACGCAGAGCACCUUUAAAGAUCAAGGAGUGACUAGACAUUGUAAUUCAUGGUAAAAGAGAUCCAAUCAUAGUCAUACCCAAUAUAAAUUUAUAGUGAUUAAUGCAAAUGACGGCUGUGCUCUCCAGCUAGUGCUUUUUAAUAAGAGGGUGAUGACUCAACAUAAAAGUAAAUGGAUAGGCCCUUCGCAGAGGGAAGCAGGGAUUUGUAGAGGUGCCAGAGCUCGGUUUUGAAAUAGAGAUAAAUUGUAUUUUGAGCGGUAUACUUUCAUUAUCAACGUAACAACUAAGAGAUGGCGCUAUCUUCCAUGCUAAACACAUUAUAGGCGGUUCCCAAAUAGAAUGGUAAAGUUUAUACUCCCCCUCCACCAACAAGCAUCAAUCCAUGGCUUGCUCGAAACAACGAGUACCUCCAACAUACAUCAGGUCCUAGGGGGAGUUUUGUUUGCAAUUAAUUUUGAUUUAGUUUGCAUAAAGCAUGGGACUGAGCAUCCCGGUGACCAACCAUUUUCUCGUGAGUGAGGAGCGGAGUCCACUCCUCUUGAGAAUAACCUGCCUAACACGAAAGAUAAGGACAGCCUUGGUUGAUACAUGAGCUAUUCGAGCAUACAAAACAAAAUGUUUAUUUGAAGGUUUAGAGUUUGGCACAUACAAAUUUACUUGGAACUGCAGGUAGAUACCGCAUAUAGGAAGGUAUGGUGGACUCAUCUAGAAUAAAUUUGGGGUUUAAGGGAUUGGAUGCACAAACAGUAUUCCCGCUUAGUACAAGUGAAGGCUAGCAAAAGACUGGGAAGCGACCAACUAGAGAGCGACAACAGCCAUGUACAUGCAUUAAAAUUAAUAAACAUUGGAUGCAAGCAUGAGUAGGAUAUAAUCCACCAUGAACAUAAAUAUCGUGAAGGCUAUGUUGAUUUUGUUUCAACUACAUGCGUGAACAUGUGCCAAUUCAAGUCACUUAAAUCAUUCAAAGGAGGAUACCACCCCAUCAUACCACAUCAUAAUCAUCUCAAUAACAUGUUGGCACACAAGGUAAAUCAUUAUAACUCAUAGCUAAUCAAGCAUGGCACAAGCAACUAUGAUCUCUAAUUAUCAUUGCAAACAUGUUUAUUCAUAAUAAGCUGAAUCAAGAACGAGGGGCUCAUCAUAUUUACAAAAACAAAAGAGGUCGAGUUCAUACCAGCUUUUCUCAUCUCAGUCAGUCCAUCAUAUAUCAUCAUAAUUGCCUUUCACUUGCACGACCGAACGAUGUGAAUAAUAAUAAGGGUGCACGUGCAUUGGACUAAGCUGGAAUCUGCGAACAUUCAAUAAACAGGAGAAGACAAGGCAACAUGGGCUCUUGGUUAAAUCAACAAUAAUGCAUAUAAGAGCCACUUCAACAAUUUAAUUAUGGUCUUCUCCUACUGACCCCCAAAGAAAAGAAAAGAAAUAAAACUAUUUACAUGGGAAAGCUCCAAACAAGCAAAAGAAGAACGGGAAAUAUUUUUGGGUUUUAUUUUUAAUUAUUACUACUACAGCAGAAAAAUAAACUACUACUAAUUUUUUGGUUUUUCUUAAGGUUUAACAAAUACACAAGAAGAAAGUAGGAAAAAGAAAAUAAACUAGCAUGGAUAUUACAGUGAAAAAGUAUGAGCACCGACAUCUAGCAAUGAGUGUGUGUGAACAUAAAUGUAAUGUCGGUGAGAAAUACGUACUCCCCCAAGCUUAGGCUUUUGGCCUAAGUUGGUCUAUGGCCACGGCUGGCCUGGCGGAUAUCCAUAAUAGUUGUUGGGGUCGUAAUGUGAUGAGGAAUAGUUGGGAUCAUACUGAUGUGCAGCGGUUAUCGUCUGCUGAGCUGCAACGUGGAGUCGAGCUGCCUCCUCUCUCCUCUCGUACUCUUCUGCCUCCUCUCUGGUAAUAACAUAUCUUCUUUUUGUCUGUGAAUCAAAGAAGGCAGGAGCAGGGAGAGUAAUACGGAAAACACGUCAUUUAUCAAAAAUUAAACGAUAUAAGAGAGGUGAUUCAGGCCUCUCGACAAACUGGUGCGAAGCCAUAGAGUCAUAAUCUAAAUAUGCAGGAGGCAACUCCGUAUCACCCUCACGAAUGUCUAUCUCAAGAAAAUGAGCUAAGCGGGUUGCAUAAAUUCCUCCAAAAAAAUCUCCAUUAUGUCUAUUAUGAUGCAACCUACGAGCUACAAUGGCUCCCAUAUGAUAAGAUUGGUCUCCUAACACAGCACUCCUAAGAAUGCUAAGAUUAGGGACACACAUAUGACAUGCUUCAUCCUUAGCAAUUAUGCAUCUACCGAUGAAGAGAGCAAAAUAAUGUAUAGCAGGAAAGUGAAUGCUCCCUGUAGCCUGCGUUAUAUCUCUAGAUUCCCCCACAGUUAUACUAAAUUCAGAUUUAGGAGGAUCCCUAACACUACCCCAUGAUGGAAGUUUGCAAGCAGAAGUGAAAUCCUCUAAGUUCAUGGUAUAAGAUCUGUCAUAGAGAUCAAACAUGACUGAAGGAGAAUUACGCGAAGAUGAAUACUCAAACCUCCUCACAAAGGAACUUGUGAGAUCAUGAUACUGGGGGCAUUUGUUAGCCUCAAAAUCCUCAAGACCGGCAUUGUGCAAAUAUAUUUUGAAUUCUUCUUUAAUUCCCGCACGGUCCAUAAAAUUUCCUGAUGGCCAUUCGCAAGGCCGUACUGGAGCGUCUCUUGAUGGAUCCUCGUCAGCAUCGCGCAUAGCAAUCCUGGGUCCUUGCUUCUUAGAGGAACCACAUUGGAACAUCUUCCUAAGCAUAUUGUUUUUCUUUGAAAGAUUCUGAAAUUUUUAGUAACUUCAAACAAAAGUUAACCAACUUCAAUAAUAUUGAUAGCAACUACUCCUACAAGUGCCUAGAGCCUAUAUCAAGCAUUAGAACUACUUGAAACCAUAUAAAUUUGACAUGCAAGCUCAAGAACAUGGUCACCUAUGCAACGCAAAUUUGCAAAGAAUAAAGCACUAGAACAAAAACUAAUUGGACCAAUGGAGGAGUCACAUACCAAGGAACAAUCUCCCCAAGCAGUUUUGCGAGAGGUGCUUUGAGCAAGGAGAUCGAAAAUCACAGCAAAAGUGGCUGGAACUCGUGCUUGAGUUGGUUUUUCGGGUUUGUGUGAGACAGAGGAAGAAGAUGGGUGCUGGGAUAAGUGGAGGAGGGCCAUCAUGGGCCCACGAGGCAGGGGGGCGCGCCCUAGAGGGGGGGGGGGGGGCGCCCACCACCCUCGUGGCCAGGUGGCAGCUCCUCCCGCGGUAAUUUUUGCACAGUAAAUCCUCGAAUAUUCCCGAAAAAAUCAUAUUAAAUUGGCAUGUCAUUCCGAGGACUUUUAUUUUCGGGAUAUUUUUAUAUUGCACGGAUAAGUCAGGAAACAAACAAAAAAAAUACUAUUUUUACUUUAUUUAAUAUAAAUAACAGGAAGUAUAGAGAGGGUACAGAAGGUGGUGCUUCUAGUUUCAUCCAUCUCAUGCUCAUAAAAAAGAAUCCACUAACAAGGUUGAUCAAGUCUUGUUAACAAACUCAUUUCGAUAAUCAUGAAACCGGAGAAAUUUCGAAUAACACCAAGUUACCUCAACGGGAAUAUGCACAUCCCCAAUAAUAAGAAUAUCAUAUUUCUUCUUGACGGUAGGAAGAGGAAAUUCAAAACCUCCAAAUAUAAUCGAUGGAAUUUUUCCAAUGGAGUUGAUACUAUGAACUUGAGGUUGUUUCCUCGGAAAGUGUACCGUAUGCUCAUUACUAUUAACAUGAAAAGUGGCAUUGCCUUUGUUGCAAUUAAUAACAGCCCCUGCAGUAUUAAGAAAAGGUCUUCCAAGAAUAAUAGACAUACUAUCAUCCUCGGGAAUAUCAAAUAUAACAAAGUCCGUUAAAAUAGUAACGUUUGCAACCACAAUAGGCACAUCCUCACAAAUACCGACAUGUAUAGCAGUUGAUUUAUCAGCCAUUUGCAAAGAUAUUUCAGUAGGUGUCAACUUAUUCAAGUCAAGUCUACGAUAUAAAGAGAGAGGCAUAACACUAACACCGGCUCCAAGAUCACAUAACGCAGUUUUAAUAUAAUUUCUUUUAAUGGAGCAAGGUAUAGUAGGUACUCCGGGGUCUCUAAGUUUCUUUGGUAUUCCACCCUUAAAAGUAUAAUUAGCAAGCAUGGUGGAAAUUUCAGCUUCCAGUAUCUUUCUUUUAUUAGUAAUGAUAUCCUUCAUAUAUUUAGCAUAAGGAUUUGUUUUGAGCACAUCAGUUAAUCGCAUACGCAAAAAGAUAGGCCUAAUCAUUUCAGCAAAGCGCUCAAAAUCCUCAUCAUCCUUUUUCUUGGAUGGUUUUGGAGGAAAAGGCAUGGGUUUCUGAACCCAAGGUUCCCUUUCUUUACCAUGUUUCCUAGCAACAAAGUUUUCUUUAUCAUAACGUUGAUUCUUUGAUUGUGGGUUAUCAAGAUCAACAGCAGGUUCAAUUUCUACGUCAUUGUCAUUACUAGGUUGAGCAUCAUUAUGAACAUCAUCAUUAAUAUUUUCAUUAGGUUCAUGUUCAUUACCAGAUUGUGUUUCAGCAUCAGACAUAGAUAUAUCAUUUGGAUUAUCAGGUGGUUCAGCAAUAGGUUCACAAGAAGUUUGCACAGUUCUAUCAUUUUUCUUCUUCUUCUUUUUAGAAGAACUAGGAACAUCAAUAUUAUUUAUUUGAGAAUCUUGCUCGAUUCUCUUAGGGUGACCUUCAGGAUACAAAGGUUCCUGAGUCAUUCUAUCAGUUCUAGUAGCCACUCUAAUAGCACAAUCAUUUUUCUUACUAUUCAUUUCAUCAAGCACUUCUUUUUGAGCCUUAAGUACUUGUUCUACUUGAGUGGUAACCAUAGAAGCAUGUUUGCUAAAAAGUUUAAGUUCAUCUUUAAUAUUAGCCAUAUAAUCACCCAAGCGUCUAAUCAUAUAAGCAUUUUCUUUUAAUUGUCUACCAAAAUAAGCAUUGAAGUCGUCUUGCUUAAACAUAAAGUUAUCAAACUCAUCCAAGCACUGACUAGCAAUUUUAGUAGGAGGGACUUCAGCUUUAUCAUAUCUAUAGAGAGAAUUUACCUUUACUACCUGUGUCAGGAUAUCGGGAUCAGGAGGUUCUUCAAUAAAUAAAGAAUUAAGAUCAUAUGUUUCUUCAACAGGCGGUGAAUUAAGACCAUGUAUUUCUUCAAUAGGAGGUAAAUUCUUAACUUCUUCAGCUUUAAUACCUUUUUCUUUCAUAGAUUUCUUUGCCUAUUGCAUAUCUUCGGGACUGAGGAAUAGAACACCUCUCUUCUUCGGAGUUGGUUUAGGAAUAGGCUCAGUAAUUGGAGCAGGAGUUGGCUCAGGAGGUGCCUAAUUAUUUUCAUUUGUCAACAUAUUAUUCAAUAGAAUUUCAGCUUCAUCUGGUGUUCUUUCCCUGAAAAGAGAACCAGCACAACUAUCCAGGUAAUCUCUGGAAGCAUCGGUUAGCCCAUUAUAAAAGAUAUCAAGUAUUUUAGGUUUCUUAAGAGGAUGAUCAGGCAAAGCAUUAAGUAACUUGAGAAGCCUCCCCCAAGCUUGUGGGAGACUCUCUUCUUUAAUUUGCACGAAGUUGUAUAUUUCCCUCAAAGUAGCUUGUUUCUUAUAAGCAGGGAAAUAUUUAGUAGAGAAGUAAUAAAUCAUAUCCUGGGGACUACGCACACAACCAGGAUCAAGAAAAUUAAACCAUAUCUUAGCAUCACCCUUUAAUGAGAACGGAAAUAUUUUCAGUAUAUAAAAGUAACGCGAUCUCUCAUCAUUAGUGAAUAGGGCAGCUAUAUCAUUUAACUUAGUAAGAUGUGCCACAACAGUUUCAGAUUCAUAGCCAUAAAACAGAUCAGAUUCAACCAAAGUAAUUAUAUCAGGAUCAACAGAGAAUUCAUAAUCCUUAUCAGGAACACAAAUAGGUGAAGUAGCAAAAGCAGGGCCGGGUUUCAUUUUAUCUCUAAGUGAUUCUUUGUUCCAUUUAACUAAUAACUUCUUAAGCUCAUAUCUAUCUUUGCAAGCUAAAAUAGCGGCAGAAGAUUCCAUAUCAAAAAGAUAACCCUCAGGAAUAACAGGCAUAUUUUCAUCAUCACUAUCAUCAUUGUAUUCAGAUUCAAUAAUUUCUUUUUCUCUAGCCCUAGCAAUUUGUUCAUCAAGAAAUUCACCAAGGGGCACGGUAGUAUCAUGCAUAGAAGCAGUUUCAUCAUAAGUAUCAUGCAUAGCAGAAGUGACAUCAUCAAUAACAUGCGACAUAUCAGAACGAAUAGUAGAAGCAGGUGUAGGUGUCGCUAGCUUACUCAUAACAGAAGGUGAAUCAAGUGCAGAGCUAGAUGGCAGUUUCUUACCUCCCCUCGUAGCUGAGGGAUAGAUCUUGGUUUUUGGAUCUCUCAAGUUCUUCAUAGUGUCCAGCAGAUAUAAAUCCCAAGUGACUCAAAGAAUAGAGCUAUGCUCCCCGGCAACGGCGCCAUAAAUUUGUCUUGAUAACCCACAAGUAUAGGGGAUCGCAACAGCUUUCGAGGGUAGAAUAUUCAACCCAAAUUUAUUGAUUCGACACAAGGGGAGCCAAAGAAUAUUCUCAAGUGUUAGCAGUUGAGUUGUCAAUUUAUCCACACCUGGAAACUUAGUAUCUGCAGCAAAGUGUUUAGUAGCACAGUAAUAUAAUAGUGGUGGUAGCGGCAACAAAAGUAAAGACAGCAAAAGUAAUGUUUUUGGUAUUUUGUAGUGAUUGUAACAGUAGCAACGGGAAAGUAAAUAAGCGUAAACCAGUAUAUGGAAAACUCGUAGGCACAGGAUCAGUGAUGGAUAAUUAUGCCGGAUGCGGUUCAUCAUGUAACAGUCAUAACAUAGGAUGACACAGAACUAGCUCCAAUUCAUCAAUGUAAUGUAGGCAUGUAUUCCGUAUAUAGUCAUACGUGCUUAUGGAAAAGAACUUGCAUGACAUCUUUUGUCCUACCCUCCCGUGGCAGCGGGGUCCUAUUGGAAACUAAGGGAUAUUAAGGCCUCCUUUUAAUAGAGAACCGAAACAAAGCAUUAGCACAUAGUGAAUACAUGAACUCCUCAAACUAUGGUCAUCACCGGGAGUGGUCCCGAUUAUUGUCACUUCGGGGUUGCCGGAUCAUAACACAUAGUAGGUGACUAUAGACUUGCAAGAUAGGAUCAAGAACUCACAUAUAUUCAUGAAAACAUAAUAGGUUCAGAUCUGAAAUCAUGGCACUCGGGCCCUAGUGACAAGCAUUAAGCAUAGCAAAGUCAUAGCAACACCAAUCUCAGAACAUAAUGGAUACUAAGGAUCAAACCCUAACAAAACUAACUCGAUUACAUGAUAAAUCUCAUCCAACCCAUCACCGUCCAGCAAGCCUACGAUGGAAUUACUCACGCACGGCGGUGAGCAUCAUGAAAUUGGUGAUGGAGGACGGUUGAUGAUGACGAUGGCGAUGAAUCCCCCUCUCCGGAGCCCCAAACGGACUCCAGAUCAGCCCUCCCGAGAGGUUUUAGGGCUUGGCGGCGGCUCCGUAUCGUAAAAUGCGAUGAUUUUUUCUCUCGGAUUUUUUUUCUCUCCGAAAGCAAAUAUAUAGAGUUGGAGUUGGCGGCGUCGGAGGGCAUCCAGGGGGCCCACGAGGUAGGGGGGUGCGCCCUAGGGGGAGGGGGCGUCCCCCACCCUCGUGAGAAGGGUGUGGGCCCCCCGGUCUUCAUCUUUGGCAAGGAUUUUUUGUUAUUUUUUCUAAGAUGUUCCGUGAAGUUUCAGGUCAUUCCGAGAAUAUUUGUUUUCUGCACAUAAAACAACACCAUGGCAAUUCUGCUGAAAACAUCGUCACACCGGGUUAGUUCCAUUCAAAUCAUACAAGUUAGAGUCCAAAACAAGGGCAAAAGUGUUUGGAAAAAUAGAUAUGAUGGAGACGUAUCAGGGUGUCCGGAGCAAAGCUACUAUACAAGGUCUACUUUGCUACCAAGCCUGCUUUCCCGGAUGAUCCAUGGUUUUGCCGCCAUUUUCGCAUGCAGAAACCAUUGUUCUUGCACAUUGUGGAGGGAGUGGAGGCACACGACGACUACUUCAAGCUCACAAGGGAUUGCUGCGGACAACUCUCUUUCUCUCCCAAGCAGAAGUGCACGACUGCUCUGAGGAUGCUUGCACUUGGUACUGUUGCAGAUGCCGUUGGUGAGAUGGUCAGGAUGGAGGAGAACACGUGCUUGAAGACUACUGUCAAAUUUGCCUGCGCUGUGGUGGAGGUGUUUGGAUUCUAACACUAUCUAUGCUUCGUACCAACAUUUGCUAUUUACGUGCGACAUUGACUUGUAUGAUUGAUAUGCACGUAUUUGCAUGGAUUUUAGAAUCCGAAUUUAAGAUAUGUGAAUGCCUGGACGAAAAUAUGAGGGGUCGUCUGGAUGCGCUAGCGGGCGUGUCCGCGGACAUAUAAAGGGCCAGAUUUGCCAAAUCCGGCUGUUGAUGCUGUAAUGCCCAUAGUUUGUGCAGCUAAAACUUGUGUUCUGUCUUUUAGGGUAACCAGAGGUUCCGUCCAAAUCCCUGUCCUACGAAAAAGAAAAAUGAAUGCUUGGAACCGGUGCCCCCAUAUCAAGAGAAAUGGUGAUUAGUACAGCUACUAGAUCAUGUCCAUCGGCACCCAGCUAGGCCCUAGCCACUCACUCAUAUGUUGGCACCUGCAAAAGGGUCAGGAUUACACAUUACAGAUGCUGGAGAUAUCCAGACAGUAGACUAUUCCAAACCAGGUUAAUUAUUACUGUGGUCUCGCCCCUACAGGAUAUAGGUGGCUAAAAUGGACUAGCUACAGAUGCUCACUAGUGCUAUAGUUUUCUUCUUGUUGUUUUAAGAUCCAGGCUUCAUUGAUGUUAAGCAGAGUAGAGAGUAACAAGGUUGGGAUCAACGGUGUGAAUGUCAAUGUAACAUAAAUCAUAUGGAGGAGUUCUUCUCCCAAGUGCGUCGCUUAGGGGUUAUUUUUUCGAAACGAAGGCAAAGAUUGGCUCAUCUAUUAAAUAAGUAGAAGAGAAUUACCCAGUUAAUUACGGAAAACCGGACAAAAACCGGAACAACGAGGGUCAAGCCCACUCCCAUAGACUGAAACACACAGGGCAAAGCCCACCCUUAUCGACAACAUACCGACCUGCGGCCACACAACGCAACUCCGACUCUGACGGAGAACUCAGAAGAACGAAACCAGGCACGGUUGGCGCCACGGAAGAUCGCCGAAAGGGCCACCUGCAGCCAGUCAUCGUACACCACAGGGCCCCGCCGCCGCCGUUUCGACUCCACAGCAACAAACAAACCGAGGCAAUACCAUGGACACACCGGAGAAGAGCCGACUAUCGCAACCAUUGCUGCAUCGUCGACAUCGCUCCCACCAUCAUCGUUGCCACAGAAGUAUGGCCGCCAUAGUGAUUCUCUCGGGGCCGCCGCCCCGACAUCCACCGCUCCCUCGCGCCCAGCACAAUCAACCGGCACCACCUUCCGGGGCCGCCGCCCCGACAUACCACCACUCCCCUCGAGCAGCAACGCCACACAACCCAGCUGCCCGCAGCCCACGCUGCUCAGGGCAGCCGCUCGCAGACCACGAACGUCGCACCACAUCCGGGGCCGCCGCCCCGACGUAAAGUCAGACUGCCCCCUCUGGGGCGCAUAGACCAGGCCGACGACCUCGCUACCCACGCAGCACCAAGCCGCCACCAAAACAAUGCACAACCGCGACUCUGCCCCAUAGAACCACUAUUGCAUCGCUAUCCGAGGCCGCUGCCUCGACGUACAUCCACCGUCCAGAGCCACCGCCCCGGCCUCCAUCACCCCGACGACGACGCAACUCCGCACCACUGCCAUGAGACCACCACUCCACAAAGGUCAUUGCUUCCAAGGCGAUGCCUCCAAGAAGGUAACGACAUAAUUGCCGCCGCUGCCCGCUCCAAUGGAGCUUGGGUUUUCACCCAGAAACACCAGGCAGUUGCGGCAGUAGAUGGACGUAGCUCCGUGAUGUGCCUUCAGGAAGGAAUGCAAUGCUCAAGAACAUCGUCAACAUCGGCACCGACUGGAGAAGGUGCAAGACUUUCGCCUGGAGAAUCUACUCCACCGCUGAGCCUCACGAGGAAGCCAACGGCAUAGGAAUGCAACAAGUUGCGCAGAGUGCUUCGUUGCCUACCUCCAGCCCUCAACAUGCCGCAGCAAAACGCCUUGCCAGAUCUGUGCACCCCCGGCCACCUCCAGCCCAAACUGCUGCUCCAUUGCACACACGGCCAGAGCAGCAGAAGACCACACCACUCCGGUGGCCAGAGACCGAUCUCCACGACCACUGUCGCAGCGCCGCCGCCCAAAAACUGUGGCUCACUGCCACAGCCACAGCCCACCAUCAUAAGAAACCUCCACCGUCGUGAUGCCGCCGUGCCGCCAUCCAAAAGCUGCGGCUCGCCGCCAUCACCACAGCUCCCCCGACCGAGGGAGGGGACCCCAGGCACCCAGCACGCCAUACAGCCACAGCCCGCCGGAGCGUUGCCGUCGCAGCACGCUGGAGCGCCUCCACCGACAGAUAUGGGCGCUGGGCGCCAGAUCGACGACGACCGGCCUCAGCACCGCCCCGCACGCCAUCCGGCCGAGGAAGGCGGGAGCAGCGCUGCCACCAUGCCUGGGGCCGCCGCCCCGGCUUGCUCGCGCCGACGAGACGCGGCCGCCGCCAGAUGCGGGCCUCCGACUGGGGCCGAAGCCAUGCGGCGCGCGACGAGGGCCCCCCGCCGUCGCCGUCCUCCUAGCGGGUUUUGCCCGUCAGCAUCCUCCUUCGACGACGGGAGGAGCGGGGGAGGAGAGAGCUGCGGGGGUGGCGGCGGCUAGGUUACGCCCGAGCCGCCCUCCCGAGAGCGACGCGAGCUCACCCGCUUAGGGGUUAGGGCCACAAGUGGAUCGCCCAUUGCCAUACGGGUGUAGAUCAUGGCCGUGAGCAACACCAAUUUCGCUCCGCACGGUGAUCUACCAGGCUACCCACCACGACUAGCUGUGCAUGCAGAGGUAGCAUGGCUUACAUGCAUACCCACUUCGAUGCCUAAACUUAUGUGAUUCAUUUUGCAUCUAAAAAAUCAUGGAAUGUCAACAAAGGGAUCAUUUCCAUUGCUGUUCGCACACGAACACGUCACCGUGUACCCUCGACGCCGGGGUGAUGCAUCGUAGCUCAUGUUAAAGGAGACCCGGCCGGAAGUGCGGUACGCAAGUAAUCCGACGGGCGUUUUCGUAGACCCGAAACCCCACACGCCCGGGAGGGAACCUGUCAGGGCACGUGGCGGCUAUGGGCUGCCCUAGGUCAACCCGAUCGCCCCUAGGGCCUCGAGGUUUGCUGCCCUGCAACAAGAAGAACAGACGAAGAACGAGGAAGAAGAAGAACAAAGAGAAAGAUAAAAGUAAAGGUAAAAAUUGGUAGAUGAUUUUGUUGAUUGUUUGUUGUUCAAUCAGCCAUCAUCUCAUCUAUUUAUGAGGUGAUUGGACUUUCCGUACAAGAAAAGGACUCCAAACCCCGUCCGAAAUUAGCCGAACACGGAUUAGUUAUGUGUGAGACAGCAGUUCGGUUUUUGUGUUUCACAAGCCAAAUACGAGCUCGGAUGAAGAUGCGCCCAAAAGGAAAUUUAACAGUUUCAACAAGACAAACAACUUUGGUGUUGAAAGUUUUAUGAUUCGAGGCCGUCUUGAGGGCCUAAUAUAACGCCCUCGAUGCGGCUAUAUCUCCUACGUGUCGAAGCACGACUUAGAGGCAUAACCGCAUUGAAAGCAAUGUCGCAAGUAAGGUAAUCUUCACAACAACCCAUGUAAAUAUAUAACAAGGGUAAAUGUACAUAGUUGGCUUACACUCGCCACGUCACACAAAGUACAUAAAUAGCAUUACAAUCAUCCAAUACACUCAUGGUCCGACUACGGUACCAAAAUAUAAGAUCAACCCCAACAUGCGACACGGUCCCGAUCGCCCCAACUGGGCACCACUACUGAUCAUCAGGGAAAGACACAUAGUAACGGCGUGAGUCUUUUUUGAACUCCCACUUGAGCUCAAGCGCAUCAUCUGGAACGGAAUCAUCGGGCCCUGCAUCUGGUUUGGAAGUAAACUAUGAGCCACGGGGACUCAGCAAUCUCGCACCCCCGCGAUCAAGACUAUUUAAGCUUAUAGGUAAGGCAAGGUAAUAUGUGGAGUUGCAGCAAGCGACUAGCAUAUAUGGUGGCUAACCUGUUCGCAAAAGAGAGCGAGAAGAGGAGGCAAAGCACGAACGAAGAACUAGAGAACAACCUACAACAAACAUUACUCCAACACCGUGUUCACUUCCCGGACUCCGUCAAGAAGAGACCGUCACGGUUACACACGCGGUUGAUUCAUUUUAAUUAAGUUAAAGUUUAAGUUAUCUACAACCGGACAUUAACAAAUUCCCAUCUGCCCAUAACCGCGGGCACGUCUUUCGAAAGUUCAAAUCCCUGCAGGGGAGUCCCAACUUAGCCCAUCACAAGCUCUCACGGUCAACGAAGGAUAAACCUUCUUCCGAGACAUUCCGAUCAGACUCGGUAUCCCGGUUCUACAAGACAACGUCGACAAAGAUAAAACAAGUCCAGCAACACCGCUCGAAUGUGCCGACAAAUCCCGAUAGGAGCUGCACAUAUCUCGUUCUCAGGGCACACUCAGAUGAGCUCUCCAUACAACUAAAACUAAACCUCGAGUUUCCCCGAGGGGGCGCUGCACAAGACUCUAGUUUGGACCAACACUCAGAGGAGCACUGGCCCAGGGGGGUUUAAAUAAAGAUGACCCUCGGGCUCUGGAAACCCAAAGAAAAAGAGGCUAGGUGGCAAAUGUUAAAACCAAGGUUGGGCAUUGGUGGAGGAGUUUUACUCAAGGCGAACUGUCAAGGGGUUCCCAUUAUCACCCAACCGCGUAAGGAAAGCAAAAAUCCGGGAACAUAACAUCGAUAUGACAGAAACUAGGGCGGCAAGAGUGGAACAAAACACUAGGGAAAAGGCCAAGCCUUCCACCCUUUACCAAGUAUAUAGAUGCAUUAAGAUAACAAGAUAAUAUAGUGAUAUCCCAACAAAAUAAACAAUGUUCCAACAAGGAAUGAUCUCCAAUCUUCAGCUGCAACUAGCAACGCUAUAAGAGGGGCUGAGCAAAGCGGUAACAUAGCCAAUCAACGGUUUACUAGGACAUGGUGGGUUAGAGGUUUGACAUGGCAAUUUGGGAGGCAUGAUAAGCAAGUGGUAGGCAUCAUAGUAUAGGCAUAGCAAAAGAGCGAGCAUCUAGCAAGCAGAGAUAGAAGUGAUUUUAAGGGUAUGAUCAUCUUGCCUGCAAAGUUGUCAGAGUUGACUGGAUCCUCGAAAGCAAACUCAACGGGCUCCUCAUUAGCGAACUCGUCUCCCGAAUCUACCCAAACAAGAUAAACAAGCAAAAGGAACACAAUCAACCACGUGCAAAGCUCAAACAACAUGAUGCAAACAUGGUAUGCUAUGCGGGAUGCGAUAUGUGAUGCAUAUGCAAGAUUUGAUAAGGAAUGAUUGAACCUGGACUCAACUUGGAAAUCCAAGAGUGCCACUGAAAAGGUGAGGUGAUUUCGGUUGAAAUCGAUAUAAAGAACACCGGAAUCGGAUGCACGGUUUGGAAAUGGCAAGCAAAACAAAUAUGGCAACGGUCUGCGAUAAACAUCAAGUAGCCAUCUAAGUGCAUCAGGAUAAUUAUGCUACAGCACUCAAACAUGGCAACAAAAUACAUGGCAGGGAUGCACUCAUGAUGCUUGACAAAAGAUGAACACUGAGGUACGGCCAAUUCAUCCAUUAACAGGUUCAAACAAGCAUGGCAAAAGUGCAAUUGAUAAACAUGUUUCAGACUUAGUGAAAUUAACACUAGUCUGGAAUUUCAGAUCAGGUAGCACACUUUGGAGCAUGAAAACUAUAUGUUACAGGAACUUAACAUGGCAAAUCAAGGCAUGACAUGAAGCUACUCCAAGCACUUAACAAAAGUCCCUUAGUGACCUUGAGCCAAAAGGGAUCAGAAAAUACAAUUGCAAGCAUGUGAACGUGGCAAAAACAUAAUCAGAUCUCAGACUUAGUGAAAAACUGGAGCAUGCAAAUAUGCUAACGAGUAGGCAUGUUUACGAGCUCGAUGCACUCACUACAGAGCAUGACAUGACAAUCUAAGCAUACACCUAUCAAGAAUACAUAUUAUAUAAGCUAGACAUGGCAAGAACAACAACAUAGCAUGCACGGAUCAACAACAACAUCCUCGGCAAAAUCGCUAACAAGUAGACAAUCUGCCAGAAAUUAUGAAAUAGAAAAAGUAGAGCUCGAUUGACUCAAGCUAGGGUGCUCCAUAAAUGCAAACAAAGGCAUAGAUGGAUAGGGCACCACAAUAUUAACAAAUCAUCCUUACUGAUCAUCCUCAAAAGAGGCACGGAUCACUAGCAAACAACAUGAACAUAUGACAUAUUGAUAAAAACAUAUCAAGGACUUGAGAGAAAUUCUAAGUCCCUGAAAUCAGCAUUAACGAAUGCACUACUUUGCAAGCUUGUGCUAGUCACCACACAUGUCACAAAAAUACAUGGUAAGCACUUCUGUAAAUAUGGCAAAGCAUAUAACAAAACUCAUGUAGAGCUCAAGAGCAUAUCAUGCACACAUUAAUCAUGGCAAAAAUGACAAAUAGCUAUUUGGUGCAGCAGAUCUGACAAUUAACUUAAAUAGCUCUCUUCCAACAGCAUUUCAGGCAUUAAGAUGAGCUCAAAUGAAAAUGAUACAAUGAGAUGAAAUGAUGUACUCUCAGAGACGAACAUUUUGAUAUGCUACACGCCCAAAACAGAGCUACGGUUGCGGAGUUACGGCAUGAUGAAAAACGCAAAAUAUCUAGGGUUCGGGGAUAAAAAGUCAACCCUCUGAAUCUAGAUCUGAUAUCACUAUAGCAGUGCGCGGACGUCGAGGAUCGCCGGAGUUCGUCGAGGUGGUCGCCGGACUUGGCGUGGAGAGGAGCUUGCCGGCCGGAUCUUGCCGGAUCCGGUGAGGGCGGCGGAGGAGGAGAGGACGGGCGGAGAGGUGCGGCCGGCGCGGGACGAAGCGGGGCUCCGGCAGGCNNNNNNNNNNNNNNNNNNNNNNNNNNNNNNNNNNNNNNNNNNNNNNNNNNNNNNNNNNNNNNNNNNNNNNNNNNNNNNNNNNNNNNNNNNNNNNNNNNNNNNNNNNNNNNNNNNNNNNNNNNNNNNNNNNNNNNNNNNNNNNNNNNNNNNNNNNNNNNNNNNNNNNNNNNNNNNNNNNNNNNNNNNNNNNNNNNNNNNNNNNNNNNNNNNNNNNNNNNNNNNNNNNNNNNNNNNNNNNNNNNNNNNNNNNNNNNNNNNNNNNNNNNNNNNNNNNNNNNNNNNNNNNNNNNNNNNNNNNNNNNNNNNNNNNNNNNNNNNNNNNNNNNNNNNNNNNNNNNNNNNNNNNNNNNNNNNNNNNNNNNNNNNNNAGCAGACCGGGCCGCAGGGGCUCCCCGCGGGCCUGGCGGGCCUCGGGCGGCGGCGGCGAUGUGGGCGCCCGCCCGGGACGCGUGGCAGGAGCUGAUUUGUCCGGCGGAGCGAGCGGACGUGUCCGGCACGUCCAGACGUUGUCCGGCGCGCGGAGAGGAAGGGGAGCUAGGGUUUUGGGGAAGAAGGUCCAAAAAUUUCGGGAGAGGGUCUAUAUAUAGGCAUAGAGGGAGCUAGGAGAGUCCAAAUAAGGUGCGGUUUUUGGCGACGCGAUCGUGAUCGAACUCUCUAGAUGAUUGAGAGGGUUUUGGUGGGUUUUGGGCCAAAAUGGAAGGGUGUUGGGCUGCAACACACACGAGGCCUUUUCAGUCCCUCGGUUAACCGUUGGAGUAUCAAACGAAGUCCAAAUGGUAAAAAACUUGACAGGCGGUCUACCGGUAGUAAACCAAGGCCGCUUGGCAAGUCUCGGUCCAAUCCGGAAAUGUUUAACCCCUACACACGAAAAGAAGGUAGAAAAGACCACCGGAGGAGAUAGGAGCGCCGGAAUGCGAAAUGGACAACGGGGAAAAUGCUCGGAUGCAUGAGACGAACAUGUAUGCAAAUGCAAUGCACAUGAUGACAUGAUGUGAGAUGCAAGACAACGACAACAACACACGGAGACAAAAACCCGAACCCGAGGAAAUAAAAUAACUUAGCGCCGGAAACGGCAAGAGUUGGAGUACAUAUUAGGUAAAUUACAUCCGGGGUGUUACAACACUCCACCACUACAAAAGGAUCUCGUUCCGAGAUCUAGGACUGGAAGAACGCCGGGUACUCAGAACGGAGGUGAUCCUCGCGUUCCCAGGUGGCUUCACGGUCGGAAUGGUGUGACCACUUGACUUUGAGGAAUAUGAUUGACUUAUUGCGAGUCUUGCGUUCAGUCUCUUCAAAAAUAGCAACGGGGUGCUCACGAUAAGAAAGAUCUUCUUGGAGAUCAAUGUCUUCGAAGUUGACGGUGCGGUCAGGAGUCUUGAAGCACUUGCGGAGCUGAGAGACAUUGAACACGUCGUGCACAUUUGCAAAAUUUGAAGGAAGCUCGAGUUGAUAGGCGAGAUCGCCUCUCUUGCUGACGAUUUUGAAAGGACCCACGUAUCUAGGGGCAAGCUUCCCUUUGAUACCGAAGCGACGAGUACCUUUCAUUGGAGAGACGCGGAGGUAAACAUGAUCUCCGAUCUCGAAAGCCAAAUCACGGUGCUUACUAUCAUAGUAGCUCUUCUGGCGCGAUUGCGCUGCUUUGAGGUUGUCACGAAUGACCUUGCACAUUUCCUCUGCCUUUGUGAUCAAGUCAUUUCCCAGAAGUUGACGUUCACCGGUUUCCGACCAGUUAAGAAGAGUACGACACUUCCUGCCAUACAGAAUUUCGAAUGGGGCCUUGCCCGAACUUGCUUAAAAACUGUUGUUGUAGGAGAAUUCGGCAUAUGGAAGACAAUCUUCCCACUUUAUACCGAAAGAGACAACGCAAGCCCUAAGCAUAUCUUCGAGAAUCUGAUUGACACACUCGACUUGGCCGCUAGUUUGAGGAUGAAAAGUUGUGCUGAAACGGAUGUUGGUGCCCAUGGCCUUCUGAAAAGAAUCCCAAAACUUGGAGGUAAAGAUGCUGCCACGGUCUGAAGAGAUCAACUAUGGAAUGCCGUGCAGAGAGACAAUCCGAGAGGUAUACAGCUCCGCCAAUUGAGCUGUAGUGAUAGACUCUUUGAUAGGAAGAAAGUGAGCCACUUUAGUGAGUUUGUCGAUGACAACGAAUAUAGCAUCAUUGCCACACUUGGACUUUGGAAACCCAGUCACGAAGUCCAUCUCAAUGUGGUCAAACUUCCAUUCUGGAAUGGCAAGAGGUUGGAGGAGACCAGCUGGCCUUUGGUGUUCUGCCUUCACUCUUCUGCAGACAUCACAUUCAUUCAUGAACUGAGCAAUCUCGCGCUUCAUUCGAGUCCACCAAUAAGCCUGCUUAAGGUCCUGAUACAUCUUCGUACUCCCAGGGUGGAUGGCGAGGAGUGAAUUGUGAGCCUCAUUCAUGAUAACUUUACGAAGGUCACCUUUGGGCACAACAAUACGAUCCUCGAAGAAGAGAGUAUCCUUGUCAUCAAGGCGAUAGCACUUGUACUUGGGUUGACUCUUGGCAAUCCCAAUCUUCACCUUCUUCACCAUAGCAUCAAGAAGUUGAGCCUCGCGAAUCUGAUCUUCCAAAGUAGGAGAGACUUGAAGGUUGGCGAGGAAACCUUGAGGAACAACUUGCAAAUUGAGUUUGCGCAAAGCUUCACAAAGCUUGGGUUGGUAAGGCUUGAGAAUCAGACUGUUGCAGUAAGCCUUCCUGCUCAAUGCGUCAGCAAUCACAUUGGCCUUGCCUGGAGUAUACUCGAUACUCGGAUUAUACUGUUGAAUCAUUUCGACCCAACGAGUCUGCCUGAGGUUGAGAUUAGGCUGAGUGAAGAUGUACUUGAGACUCUUGUGGUCAGUGAAAAUGUCCACUUUUCUUCCCAAUAAGAGAUGUCUCCAAGUCAAAAGAGCAUGCACAACUGCCGCCAACUCGAGGUCAUGAGUGGGGUAGUUCUUCUCGUUGGGCUUCAAUUGGCGAGAGGUAUAAGCCACAACUUUCUUCUCUUGCAUCAACAUUGCACCAAGACCUUGAAGAGAGGCAUCGUAGAAGACCUCAAACGGUUUGGAUUCAUCAGGAGGAGUCAAAACUGGAGUAGUGACCAAUUUCUCUUUCAAAGUGUUGAAAGCGAUAUCACAUUCCGGAGACCAAACGUACUUGACGGGCUUCUGGAGAAGAUUUGAAAGAGGCUUCGCGAUCUUUGAAAAGUUCUCAACGAACCUUCGACAGUAGCUUGCGAGACCGAGGAAGCUGCGGAGUUGCUUCACGUUCUGAGGUGGUUCCCAAUUCACAAUUGCAGACACCUUCUUAGGAUUCACCGCUAUGCCCUUGGCAGAGAUGAUAUGCCCAAGAUAGAGAACCUCAUCGAGCCAAAACUUGCACUUUGAGAACUUGGCGUAGAACUGAUGUUCCCUGAGCUUAUCGAGCACCAAACGCAAAUGCUUGGCAUGAUCUUCCUUGUUCUUCGAAAAGGCCAGAAUGUCAUCGAGGUAGACCAAGACAAAGUCAUUUGUGUAGGCGUUGAAGAUGAAGUUCAUCAUGCGAGAGAAAGUCGGAGGAGCGUUGAUGAGGCCAAAAGACAUGACAGUGUAUUCAUAUGAACCAUAGCUUAUUCUGAAAGCCGUCUUGGGAAUAUCUUGAUCACGGAUUCGAAUCUGGUGAUAACCCAUACGGAGAUCAAGCUUGGAGAAUACUUGGGCACCUUUGAGUUGUUCGAAUAGCUCAUUGAUGUUGGGAAAUGGGUACUUGUUCUUGAUAGUCUUCUUGUUCAAUGGACGGUAGUCAACACAAAGUCGGUCCGUUCCAUCCUUCUUCACAAAAAGAACUCCACAACCCCACGGAGAAGAACUAGGUCGGAUGAGACCCAUUCGCUCUUGAAUAUCGAGUUGCUUCUGUUGGGGAACGUAGCAGAAUUUUAUAAUUUUCUACGAAUCACCAAGAUCAAUCUAUGGAGUCAUCUAGCAACGAGAGAGAGGAGUGCAUCUACAUACCCUUGUAGAUCGCGAGCGGAAGCAUUCAAGAGAACGGGGUUGAUGGAGUCGUACUCGUCGUGAUCCAAAUCACCAAUGACCGAGCGCCGAACGGAUGGCACCUCCGUGUUCAACACACGUAUGGUUGGGGAAGAUGUCUCCUCCUUCUUGAUCCAGCAAGGGGGAAGGAGAGGUUGAUGGAGAUCCAGCAGCACGACGGCGUGGUGAAAGCAGCGGGGAUCUCGGCAGGGCUUCGCCAAGCUCAGCGAGAGGGAGAGGUGUUACGAGGGGAGAGGGAGGCGCCAGGGGCUAGGGUGCGGCUCCCAUGCGCCUCCCCACUAUAUAUAGGGGUGGAGGGGGCUGGUUUCUUGCCCUCCAAGUCCAUUGGGGCGUUGGCAAAGGUGGGGGAAAGAAAUCCCAUCAUUUCCCUUCCCCACCGAUUGUUAUCCCCCCUUUUUAGGGAUCUUGAUCUUAUCCCUUCGGGAUAUGAUCUUAUUCCUUCUAAGGGGGGAUCUUGGUGCGCCUUGACCAGGGGUGUGGGUCCUUGCCCCCACUACCCACGUUCAUGUGGGUCCCCCCAUGCAGGUGGGCCCCACUCCGGAACCUUCUAGAACCUUCCCGGUACAAUACCAAAAAAUCCCGAACAUUUUCCGGUGGCCAAAAUAGGACUUCCCAUAUAUAAAUCUUUACCUCCGGACCAUUCUGGAACUCCUCGUGACGUCCGGGAUCUCAUCCGGGACUCCGAACAACUUCCGGGUUACCGCAUACUAAUAUCUCUACAACCCUAGCAUCACCGAAUCUUAAGUGUGUGGACCCUACGGGUUCGGGAGACAUGCAGACAUGACCGAGACAACUCUCCGGCCAAUAACCAACAGCGGGAUCUGGAUACCCAUGUUGGCUCCCACAUGUUCCACGAUGAUCUCACUGGAUGAACCACGAUGUCGAGGAUUCAAUCAAUCCCGUAUUCAAUUCCCUUUGUCCAGCGGUAUUGCACUUGCCCGAGAUUCGAUCGUCGGUAUCCGAUACCUUGUUCAAUCUCGUUACCGGCAAGUCUCUUUACUCGUUCCGUAGCACAUCAUCCCGUGAUCAACUCCUUGGUCACAUUGUGCACAUUAUGAUGAUGUCCUACCGAGUGGGCCCAGAGAUACCUCUCCGUUACACGGAGUGACAAAUCCCAGUCUCGAUUCGUGCCAACCCAACAGACACUUUCGAAGAUACCUGUAGUGAACCUUUAUAGCCACCCAGUUACGUUGUGACGUUUGGCACACCCAAAGCACUCCUACGGUAUCCGGGAGUUGCACAAUCUCAUGGUCUAAGGAAAUGAGACUUGACAUUAGAAAAGCUUUAGCAUACGAACUACACGAUCUUUGUGCUAGGCUUAGGAUUGGGUCUUGUCCAUCACAUCAAUGAUGUGAUCCCGUUAUCAAUGACAUCCAAUGUCCAUGGUCAGGAAACCGUAACCAUCUAUUGAUCAACGAGCUAGUCAACUAGAGGCUUACUAGGGACAAGGUUUUGUCUAUGUAUCCACACAUGUAUCUGAGUUUCCUAUCAAUACAAUUCUAGCAUGGAUAAUAAAUGAUUAUCAUGAACAAGGAAAUAUAAUAAUAACCAAUUUAUUAUUGCCUCUAGGGCAUAUUUCCAACAGUCUCCCACUUGCACUAGAGUCAAUAAUCUAGUUCACAUCGCCAUGUGAUUAACACUCACAGGUCACAUCGCCAUGUGACCAACAUCCAAAGAGUUUACUAGAGUCACUAAUCUAGUUCACAUCACUAUGUGAUUAAUACUCAAUGAGUUCUAGGUUUGAUCAUGUUAUGCUUGUGAGAGAGGUUGUAGUCAACGGGUCUUGCCAUAUUCAGAUCCCUAUGUAUUUCGCAAAACUUUAUAUCGUAGAUGCUGCUACCACGUUCCACUUGGAGCUAUUCCAAAUUAUUGCUCCAUUAUACGUAUCCGGUAUCUCUACUCAGAGCUAUCCGGAUAGGUGUUAAGCUUGCAUCGACGUAACUCUUUAUGUCGAACUCUUUAUCACCUCCAUAACCGAGAAACAUUUCCUUAUUCCUCUAAGGAUAAUUUUGACCGCUAUCUGGUGAUCCAUUCCUAGAUCACCUUUGUACCCUCUUGCCAGACAUGUGGCAAGGCACACAUUAGGUGCGGUACUUCAGCAUGGCAUACCAUAUAGAGCAUAUGACAAGAGCAUAGGGGACGACCUUCGUCCUUCCUCUUUCUUCUGCCGUGGUCAAGCUUUGAGUCUUACUCAACUUCACACCUUACAACUCAGGUAAGAACCCCUUCUUUGACUGAUCUAUUUUGAACUCCUUCAAAAACAUGUCGAGGUGUGCGUUCUUUGAAAGUAUCAUCAGGCGUUUUGAUCUAUCUCUAUAGAUCUUGAUGCCCAAUAUGUAAGCAGCUUUAUCCAGGUCUUCCUUUGAAAAACACUCUUCAAAUAACCGUUUAUGCUUUCCAGAAAUUCUACAUCAUUUCGAAUCAACAAUAUGUCAUCCACAUAUACUUAUCAGAAAUGUUGUAGUGCUCCCACUCACUUUCUUGUAAAUACAAGUUUCUAGCAAACAUUGUAUAAAACCUAAAAGCUUUGAUCACUCCAUCAAAACAUAUAUUCCGAUUCCGAGAUGCUUGCUCUAGUCCAUAGAAGGAUUGCUGGAGCCAGCAUAACUUUUAGCAUUCUUAGGAUCGACAAAACCUUUUAUUGUAUCACAUACAACUUUUCUUACGAAAACUUGGUAAGAAAACUUGUUUUGACAUCCAUCUGUAAGAUUUCAUAAUCGAAAAAUACAGCUAGUGCUAACAUGAUUCUGACGGACUUAAGCAUCGCUACGGGUGAGAAAUUCUCAUCGUAGUCAACUCCUUGAACUUGUGAAAAGACUCUUUCCCACAAGUCGAUCUUCAUAGACGGUAACAUUACCGCCCACGUCCGUCUUCUUCUUAAAGAUCCAUUUAUCUCAAUGGCUUGCCGAUCAUCGGGCAAGUCCACCAAAGUCCAUACUUUGUUCUGAUAUAUGGAUCCUAUCUCUGAUUUCAUGGCUUCUAACCGUUUGUCGGAAUACGAGCCCACCAACGCUUCUCCAUAGCUCGUAGGUUCAUUGUUGUCUAACAACAUGAUAUCUAAGACAGGAUUACCGUACCACUUAGGAGUAGUACGUAUCCUUGUCGACCUACGAGGUUCGAUAGCAACUUGAUCCGAAGCUUCAUGAUCACUAUCAUUAACUUCCUAUUCAACAGACGUAGGCGCCACAGAAAACAUCUUCUGUGUUGCAUCACUCUCUGGUGGAAGUAAAGGUUCGACAACCUCAUCAAGUUCUAUCUUCCUCCCACUCAAUUCUUUCGAGAUAAACUCCUUCUCGAGAAAGGACCCGUUCUUAGCGACAAACAAUUUUCCCUCGGAUCUGAGAUAGAAGGUAUACCCUACUGUCACCUUUGGGUAUCCUAUGAAGAUGUGUUUGUCCGCUUUGGGUUCGAGCUUAUCCGGCUGAAGCCUUAAGCAUCGCAGCCCCAAACAUUAAGAAACGAGAACUUUGGUUUCUUGCCAAACCAAUGUUCAUAUGACGUCGUCUCAACGGACUUAGAUGGUGUCCUAUCUAAAGUGAAUGCAGCUGUCUCUAACGCAUAACCUCAAAAUGAAAACGGUAGAUUGAUAAGAGACAUCAUAGAUCGCACCAUAUCUCAUAGUGUUCGAUUACGAUGUACGGACACACCAUUACCUUGUGGUGUUCCAGGUGGCUUCAACUGUGAAACAAUUCCACAAUGUCUUAAGUGAUUGCCAAACUCAUAACUCAGAAAAUCCCCUUUUGAUCAGAUCGUAGGAACAUGAUCUUAUUGUUAUGAUGAUUCUUAACUUCACUCUGAAAUCGCUUGAACUUUUCAAACGUUUCGGAUUUGUGCUUCAUUAAGUAGAUAUACCUAUAUCUACCCAAAUCAUCAGUGAAGAUGAGAAAAUAGCGAUAUCCACCGCAUGCUUCAAUUCUCAUUGGAUCACACGCAUCAGCAUGCAUGAUUUCCAACAAGUCACUUGCCCGUUUCAUUGUACCUGAAAACGGGGUCUUAGUCAUCCUGCCCAUGAGGCAUGGCUCGCAUGUGUCAAGUGAUUCAAAAUCAAGUGACUCCAAACAUCCAUCGACAUGGAGUUUCUUCAUGCAUCUUACGCCAAUAUGACCUAAGCGGCAGUGCCACGAGAAAGUGGUACUAUCAUUAUUAACUCUACAUCUUUUGGCGUGAACACGUGUAUUACCACGACCGAGAUUCAAUGAACCAUUCACAUAGGGUGCAUGACCAUAAAAGGUAUCAUUCAUGUAAACAGAAUAACCAUUAUUCUCUAAUUUAAAUGAAUAACAGUAUUGCAAUGAACAUGGUCUAAUCAUAUUCAUGCUCAAGUUGACACCUGAUGACAUUUAUCUAGGUUCAAUACUAAUCCCGAAGGCAGAUGGAGCGUGCGAUGGUGAUCUCAUCAACUUUGGAAACACUUCCAACACACAUCGUCACCUCGCCCUUAGCCAGUCUCCGUUUAGUCCGUAGCUUUUGCUUCAAGUCACCAAUAAUAGUAACUGAACCGGUAUCCAAUACCCAGGCGCUACCAGGAGUACUAGUGAGGUACACAUUAAUAACACGUAUAUACUUUGUUGAAGUUGCCAGCCUUCUUAUCUACCAUGCAUUUGGGGUAAUUCCGCUACCAGUGACCGUUCCCCUUACAAUAGAAGCACUUAGUCUCGGGUUUGGGUUCAACCUUGGGUUCCUUCACUGGAGCGGCAACUGGUUUGCCAUCCAUGAAGUUUCCCUUCUAGCCCUUGCCCUUCUUGAAACCAGUGGUCUUGUUAAACCAUCAACACUUGAUGCUCCUUCUUGAUUUCUACCUUUUGCGGUCUUAAGCACCGCGAACAGCUCCGGGAUCAACUCCAUACCUUGCAUGUCAUAGUUUAUCACGAAGAUCUAGUAGCUUAGUGAUAGUGGCUAGAGAACUCUAUCAAUCACUAUCUUAUCUGGAAGUUUAACUCCCACUUGAUUUAAGUGAUUGUAGCACCCAGACAUUCUGAGCGCAUGCUCACUAGCUGAGCUAUUCUCCUCCAUCUUGUUGGCAAAAGAACUUGUCAGAGGUCUCACACCUGUCAACACGGGCAUGAGCCUGAAAUCCCAAUUUCAGCUCUUGGAACAUCUCAUAUGUUCUAUGGCGUUCAAAACGUCAUUGGAAUCCCGAUUCUAAGCCGUAAAGUAUGGUGCACUAAACUAUCAAGUAGUCAUCAGGAUGUGUCUGUCAGGUGUUCACAACAUCCACAGACGACGUUGUAGGGGUUUGCACAUCGACCGGUGCAUCAAAGACGUAAGCCUUCUGUGUAGAAGUGAGGACACUCCUCGGACUUCGGACCCAGUCCGCAUCAUUGCUUACAAUAUCUUUCAACUUAAUCUUUCUCUAGGAACGUAUUGAAACAGGGAGCUACAACUUGAGCUAUUUAUCUACAACAUAUUUGCAAAGACAAUUUAGACUAUGUUCAUGAUAAUUGAGUUCAUCUAAUCAAAUUAUUUAAUGAAAUCCACCUCAGAUAGACAUCCCUCUAGUCAUCUAAGUGAAACAUGGUCCGAAUUGACUAGGCCGUGUCCGAUCAUCACGUGAGACGGACUAGUCAUCAACGGUGAACAUCUCAUGUUGAUCGUAUCUUCUAUACAACUCAUGCUCGAACUUUCGGUCUUCCGUGUUCCGAGGCCAUGUCUGUACAUGCUAGGCUCGUCAAGUCAACCUAAGUGUAUUGCAUGUGUAAAUCUGGCUUACACCCGUUGUAUUCGAACGUUAGAAUCUAUCACACCCGAUCAUCACGUGGUGCUUCGAAACAACGAACCUUCACAACGGUGCACAGUUAGGGGGAACACUUUCUUGAAAUUUUAGUGAGGGAUCAUCUUAUUUAAGCUACCGUCGUUCUAAGCAAAUAAUAUGUAAAACAUGAUAAACAUCACAUGCAAUCAAAUAGUGACAUGAUAUGACAAUAUCAUUUUGCUCCUUAUGAUCUCCAUCUUCGGGGCUCCACGAUCAUCGUUGUCACCGGCAUGACACCAUGAUCUUCAUCAUCGUGUCUUCUUGAAGUUGUCUCGUCAUCUAUUACUUCUACUACUAUGGCUAAUGCUUUAGCAAUAAAGUAAAGUAAUUACAUGACGUUUAUGUUGACACACAGGUCAUAAAUAAAUUAAGACAACUCCUAUGGCUCCUGCCGGUUGUCAUACUCAUCGGCAUGCAAGUCAUGAUUCCUAUUACAAGAACAUGAUCAAUCUCAUACAUCACAUAUAUCAUUCAUCACAUCCUUUUGGCCAUAUCACAUCACAAGGCAUAUGCUGCAAAAACAAGUUAGACGUCCUCUAAUUGUUGUUGCAAGUUUUUACGUGGCUGCUAUAGGUUUCUAGCAAGAACGUUUCUUACCUACGCCAAAACCACAACGUGAUAUGCCAAUUUCUAUUUACCCUUCAUAAGGACCCUUUUCAUCGAAUCCGAUCCGAGUAAAGUGGGAGAUACAGACACCCGCUAGCCACCUUAUGCAACUAGUGCAUGUCAGUCGGUGGAACCAGUCUCACGUAAGCGUACCUGUAAGGUCGGUCCGGGCCGCUUCAUCCCACGAUGCCGCCGAAUCAAGAUAAGACUAGUAACGGCAAGCAAAUUGGCAAUAUCGACGCCCACAACUGCUUUGUGUUCUACUCGUGCAUAGAAACUACGCAUAGACCUAGCUCAUGAUGCCACUGUUGGGGAACGUAGCAGAAUUUUAAAAUUUUCUACGCAUAACCAAGAUCAAUCUAUGGAGUCAUCUAGCAACGAGAGAGAGGAGUGCAUCUACAUACCCUUGUAGAUCGCGAGCGGAAGUGUUCAAGAGAACGGGGUUGAUGGAGUCGUACUCGUCGUGAUCCAAAUCACCGAUGACCGAGCGCCGAACGGACGGCACCUCCGCGUUCAACACACGUACAGUUGGGGAAUACGUCUCCUCCUUCUUGAUCCAGCAAGGGGGAAGGAGAGGUUGAUGAAGAUCCAGCAGCACGACGGCGUGGUGGUGGAAGCAGCGGGGAUCUCGGCAGGGCUUCGCCAAGCUCAGCAAGAGGGAGAGGUGUUACGAGGGGAGAGGGAGGCGCGAGGGGCUAGGGUGCGGCUCCCAUGCGCCUCCCCACUAUAUAUAGGGGUGGAGGGGGCUGGUUUCUUGCCCUCCAAGUCCAUUGGGGCGUUGGCAAAGGUGGGGGAAAGAAAUCCCAUCAUUUCCCUUCCCCACCGAUUGUUAUCCCCCCUUUUUAGGGAUCUUGAUCUUAUCCCUUCGGGAUAUGAUCUUAUUCCUUCUAAGGGGGGAUCUUGGUGCGCCUUGACCAGGGGUGUGGGUCCUUGCCCCCACUACCCACGUUCAUGUGGGUCCCCCCAUGCAGGUGGGCCCCACUCCGGAACCUUCUAGAACCUUCCCGGUACAAUACCGAAAAACCCCAAACAUUUUCCGGUGGCCAAAAUAGGACUUCCCAUAUAUAAAUCUUUACCUCCGGACCAUUCCGGAACUCCUCGUGACGUCCGGGAUCUCAUCCGGGACUCCGAACAACUUCCGGGUUACCGCAUACUAAUAUCUCUACAACCCUAGCGUCACCGAACCUUAAGUGUGUAGACCCUACGGGUUCGGGAGACAUGCAGACAUGACCGAGACAACUCUCCGGCCAAUAACCAACAGCGGGAUCUAGAUACCCAUGUUGGCUCCCACAUGUUCCACGAUGAUCUCAUUGGAUGAACCACGAUGUCGAGAAUUCAAUCAAUCCCGUGUUCAAUUCCCUUUGUCCAGCGGUAUUGUACUUGCCCGAGAUUCGAUCGUUGGUAUCCGAUACCUUGUUCAAUCUCGUUACCGGCAAGUCUCUUUACUCGUUCCGUAGCACAUCAUCCCGUGAUCAACUCCUUGGUCACACUGUGCACAUUAUGAUGAUGUCCUACCGAGUGGGCCCAGAGAUACCUCUCCGUUACACGGAGUGACAAAUCCCAGUCUCGAUUCGUGCCAACCCAACAAACACUUUCGGAGAUACCUGUAGUGAACCUUUAUAGCCACCCAGUUAUGUUGUGACGUUUGGCACACCCAAAGCACUCCUACGGUAUCCGGGAGUUGCACAAUCUCAUGGUCUAAGGAAAUGAUACUUGAUAUUAGAAAAGCUUUAGCAUACGAACUACACGAUCUUUGUGCUAGGCUUAGGAUUGGGUCUUGUCCAUCACAUCAUUCUCCUAAUUAUGUGAUCCCGUUAUCAACGACAUCCAAUGUCCAUGGUCAGGAAACCGUAACCAUCUAUGGAUCAACGAGCUAGUCAACUAGAGGCUUACUAGGGACAAGGUGUUGUCUAUGUAUCCACACAUGUAUCUGAGUUUCCUAUCAAUACAAUUCUAGCAUGGAUAAUAAACGAUUAUCAUGAACAAGGAAAUAUAAUAAUAACCAAUUUAUUAUUGCCUCUAGGGCAUAUUUCCAACAACUUCUUCAGCUCCUUCAACUCUUCAGGUCCAAGCUUGUAAGGACGCUUGCAAACCGGUUCCGUGCCAGGCUCAAGAUCGAUGACGAAUUCAACUGGCCGGUGCGGAGGCAUUCCUGGAAGCUCUUCUGGAAAGACGUCUUGAUAUUCGCAAACGACUGGAAUUUGAGAGAUGGCAUCUAGUUCACCCUUCUCAUUGAGAGAAAACAGACGGAUUGUAUCAUCACGAGCGGCAAAGACAAUUACAUCCUCAGACGAAUGAGUCAAUUGAAUCUGCUUGGCAGCACAAUCAAGAUGAGCCUUGUGCUUAGAAAGCCAAUCCAUUCCAAGAAUAAGAUCAAUAUCCGAGUCGCCGAGAACAAUAGGAGAAGCUAGAAAUUUGUAGUCGCCCAACAUGAUAGAAAUAUCCGGGACGCAGAAAUUAGUUGUCAUCUGCUUGCCCGGUGACACGAUUUGCAAAGAACUUUGCAGAUACUGAUAAUCGCACUCAUACUUUGAUGCAAAAGGUUUGGAAAUGAAACAAUGCGAUGCACUAGUGUCAAAAAGAACUCUUGCAGGAAUAUCGUUAACAGGAAUGUUACCCAUGAUGACAUUUGACGAGUCCUCUGCCUGAGCUGCAUUCAUCAAGUUGACCUUGGCGUGCUUGGGGUUAUGCUUGACCACAGCUAUACUUGCCGAUCUCACAGGAGGAGGAGGAGGGAGACGCCUCUGAUUGAAGCAUUUGUUGGCAUAGUGACCCUUCUGUUGGCACUUGUUGCACGUGACCUCUGAAAGCGGACGAUGAUACGAAGCACUCGAUCUUGGAGCUUGAGACGAAGUCUUGUUCUGAAAGCCAAGGUUGGGUGGGUGGGAAGAUCCACUGCCACCUUUGCUCUUCUACUGAAACGGCUGACGGAACAGAGGAGGAGGAAGCCAAUACUUCUGCUGCUUAGCCACUUGAGUAGAGGAAGAAGGAGUCGCAUCUCUGACUCGCUUCUUGGAAGCAUCGCACUUCAGUUGAGCAGCCUCUUGCUUCAAUGCCAUGUUGUAAAACUCAUCGUACCUCCUGGGCUCAAAGAGGACAAGAGCUAGCUGGAUUUCUUCUCCGAGACCACCCCUAAACUGGUAUAUCAUGCUCUUCUCGUCAGGGACGUCCUGCUUAGCAAAGCGGGCGAGCUUCUGAAACAUCUUGUUGUAGUCAUAGACAGACAUAGAGCCUUGCUUCAGGUUGCGGAAUUCCUCACUCUUGCUUUCAACCACGCUCUGAGGAAUAGGAUGAGCUUUGAAGUCUUGACGGAAUUCAUCCCAGGUAAUCACACGGCCUCCUCUGGAAUCUUUGUACUGCUGAAACCAUUCUGCAGCUUGGUCUUUGAGUUGGAAGGAAGCGAACUUGACAAAGUCCCGUAGGCCUGACGUUACUGCACUCGAAAUGCUUGCAUAAGUCCACGAGCCAAUCAUCAGCGUCAGUUGCCUCAACACAAUUGCUGAAAGUCUUUGGCUGGUUAGCAAGGAACUGGUUGAGUGUAGCAAAGUGAUUCUGAUUGUUGCCUUGGUUGCCUUGGUUCGCUUGGUUGCGCUCUUGAAGAAUUUGCAUGAUCAGCUGCGUGUUUGCAUUGGUAGCGGCCAUCACAGCUUGCCAUGCCUCCGGAGGUGGAGGUGGUGGUGGCGGAUCAGGAUUCGGAGUCGUGCGCGUUGGAGGAGCCAUCCUGAAGAGGUUGACAUCCAUUAGCACACUGAUAGACAAAAAUUGAAGCUGAAACCAACGGGUAGAAAUUGCAACAUAUAGUCUUCACAUCCGAACAAAAUGAACGAAUGCAUUCCAAUUGAAAUGGUCACGUAUCCAUUUAUUGAGAAGCCACUUAGAAUUUAGUUAGAGGAAUAAAAUCAACAAGGUACGAAACAAGAACGAAUACUCGGUAAGGAUCACCCAAUCUCAAACCAAAUAUCCGUGGAAGAAGAACUAGAGCUACUAGAAUUCCCACCUAUGAAACUCCCGAACCUCUUCGGUUAUGCAAUCAGGUGUUGGGGAUACAUGGGAAGCAUAAUAUCUCACCCAAAUCUAGCAAACCGUACAUCCAGCUGUAUCCAUCCUUCAACACAUAACCGGGAAAAACUUCAGAAAUCGUCUACCUCAACCUUCGAAAAGCAUCUGUUAUACAAGUUAUGGCAAUACUCCCGAACUCCCGCCCCAGUACUGGGUGGCCUCGAGGUUAUCUCACCAACAACUGCAUAAAAGAGAUUUUCGAUGUCGACGAACAAAACUCAGGUAUUCCAGAACUUCAACAAUAAAAUUGUGAUGACAACACCUCAGAGCUCAACUCCCCGGGACACUGCCACAACCCCUAAAUGACAGGAGGCACCAAGAACAAUGUUCUCGUCACAAAUCGAUCGGAACGAUUCCAAGAUACCCGCGUGAUCCUAAUUUUUUUAGUGAAAUUUGAGAAGAGAAGAGACAAAACUCUACGUCAGGAUGCCUUACCAGAGCGAUGAAGGGACUGGGAGUAAAAAGAAUACCUGAACUCUCCGAUAUAUAAUUCCAAAAUGACUCAAAAUAUUUUUCUAGACUCAACAACGGCAGCUAAUUCGAUCAAGCAGUGGGGGCUCCUAAGGUCGGGGAAGGCUCUGAUUACCAACUUGAUAACGCCCUCGAUGCGGCUAUAUCUCCUACGUGUCGAAGCACGACUUAGAGGCAUAACCGCAUUGAAAGCAAUGUCACAAGUAAGGUAAUCUUCACAACAACCCAUGUAAAUAUAUAACAAGGGGAAAGGUACAUAGUUGGUUUACACUCGCCACGUCACACAAAGUACAUAAAUAGCAUUACAAUCAUCCAAUACACUCAUGGUCCGACUAUGGUACCAAAAUAAAAGAUCAACCCCAAAAUGCGACACGGUCCCGAUCGCCCCAACUGGGCACCACUACUGAUCAUCAGGGAAAGACACAUAGUAACGGCCUGAGUCUUCGUCGAACUCCCACUUGAGCUCAAGCGCAUCAUCUGGAAUGGAAUCAUCGGGCCCUGCAUCUGGUUUGGAAGUAAACUGUGAGCCAUGGGGACUCAGCAAUCUUGCACCCUCGCGAUCAAGACUAUUUAAGCUUAUAGGUAAGGCAAGGUAAUAUGUGGAGUUGCAGCAAGCGACUAGCAUAUAUGGUGGCUAACCUGUUCGCAAAAGAGAGCGAGAAGAGGAGGCAAAGCACGAACGAAGAACUAGAGAACAACCUACGACAAACAUUACUCCAACACAGUGUUCACUUCCCGGACUCCGUCAAGAAGAGACCAUCACGGUUACACACGCGGUUGAUUCAUUUUAAUUAAGUUAAAGUUCAAGUUAUCUACAACCGGACAUUAACAAAUUCCCAUCUGCCCAUAACCGCGGGCACGGCUUUCGAAAGUUCAAAUCCCUGCAGGGGAGUCCCAACUUAGCCCAUCACAAGCUCUCACGGUCAACGAAGGAUAAACCUUCUCCCGAGACAUUCCGAUCAGACUCGGUAUCCCGGUUCUACAAGACAACUUCGACAAAGAUAAAACAAGUCCAGCAACACCGCCCAAAUGUGCCAACAAAUCCCGAUAGGAGCUGCACAUAUCUCGUUCUCAGGGCAUACUCAGAUGAGCUCUCCAUACAACUAAAACCAAACCUCGAGUUCCCUGAGGGGGCGCUACACAUGACUCUAGUUUGGACCAACACUCAGAGGAGCACUGGCCCGGGGUGGUUUAAAUAAAGAUGACCCUCAGGUUCCGGAAACCCAAGGGAAAAAGAGGCUAGGUGGCAAAUGGUAAAACCAAGGUUGGGCAUUGCUGGAGGAGUUUUACUCAAGGUGAACUGUCAAGGGGUUCCCAUUAUCACCCAACCGCGUAAGGAACGCAAAAAUCCGGGAACAUAACACCGAUAUGACGGAAACUAGGGCGGCAAGAGUGGAACAAAACACUAGGCAAAAGGCCGAGCCUUCCACCCUUUACCAAGUAUAUAGAUACACUAAGAUAACAAGAUAAUAUAGUGAUAUCCCAACAAAAUAAACAAUGUUCCAACAAGGAACGAUAUCCAAUCUUCACCUGCAACUAGCAACGCUAUAAGAGGGGCUGAGCAAAGCGGUAACAUAGCCAAUCAACGGUUUGCUAGGACAUGGUGGGUUAGAGGUUUGACAUGGCAAUUUGGGAGGCAUGAUAAGCAAGUGGUAGGCAUCAUAGCAUAGACAUAGCAAAAGAGCGAGCAUCUAGCAAGCAAAGAUAGAAGUGAUUUUGAUGGUAUGGUCAUCUUGCCUGCAAAGUUGUCAGAGUUGACUGGAUCCUCGAAAGCAAACUCAACGGGCUCCUCGUUAGCGAACUCGUCUCCCGGCUCUAUCCAAACAAGACAAACAAGCAAAAGGAACACAAUCAACCACGUGCAAAGCUCGUACAACAUGAUGCAAACAUGGUAUGUUAUGCGGGAUGCGAUAUGUGAUGCAUAUGCAAGAUUUGACAAGGAAUGAUUGAACUUGGCCUCAACUUGGAAAUCCAAGAGUGCCACUGGAAAUGUGAGGUGAUUUCGGUUGAAAUCGAUAUAAAGAACACCGGAAUCGGAUGCACGGUUUGGAAAUGGCAAGCAAAACAAAUAUGGCAACGGUCUGCGAUAAACAGCAAGUAGCCAUCUAAAUGCAUCAGGAUAAUUAUGCUACAACACACAAACAUGGCAACAAAAUACAUGGCAGGGAUCCACUCAUGAUGCUUGACAAAAGAUGAACAGUGAGCUACGGCCAAUUCAUCCACUAACAGGUCCAAACAAGCAUGGCAAAAGUGCAAUUGAUAAACAGGCUUCAGACUUAGUGAAAUUAACACUAGUCUGGAAUUUCAGAUCAGGUAGCACACUUUGGAGCAUGAAAACUAUAUGCUACAGGAACUUAACAUGGCAAAGCAAGGCAUGACAUGAAGCUACGCCAAGCACUUAACAAAAGUCCCUUAGUGACCCUGAGUCAAAAGGGAUCAGAAAAUACAAUUGCAAGCAUGUGAACAUGGAAAAAACAUAAUCAGAUCUCAGACUUGGUGAAAAACUGGAGCAUGCAAAGAUGUUAACGAGUAGGCAUGUUUACGAGCUCGAUGCACUCACUACAGAGGAUGACAUGACAAUCUAAGCAUACACCCAUCAAGAACACAUAUUAUAUGAGCUAGACAUGGCAAGAACUACAACAUAUCAUGCACGGAUCAACAACAACAUCCUCGACAAAAUCGCUAACGAGUAGACAAUCUGCCAGGAAUUACGAAAUAGAAAAGUAGAGCUCGACUGACUCAAGCUAGGUUGAUCCAUAAAUGCAAACAAAUACAUGGAUGGAUAGAGCAUCACAAUAUUAACAAAUCAUCCUUACUGGUCGUCCUCAAAAAAGGCACAGAUCACUAGGAAACAACAUGAACAUAUGGCAUAUUGAUAAAAACAGAUCAAGGACUUGGUGAAAUUCUAAGUCCCUGAAAUCAGCAUUAACGAAUGCACUCUUUGCAAGCUUGUGCUAGUCACCACACAUGUCACAAAAAUACAUGGUAAGCACUUUUGUAAAUAUGGCAAAGCAUAUAACAAAACUCAUGUAGAGCUCAGGAGCAUAUCAUGCACACAUUAAUCAUGGCAAAAAUGACAAAUAGCUAUUUGGUGCAGCAGAUCUGACAAUUAACUCAAAUAGCUCUCUUACAAUAGCAUUUCGGGCAUCAAGAUGAGCUCAAAUGAAAAUGAUGCAAUGAGACGAAAUGAUGUACUCUCAGAGAAGAACAUUUUGAUAUGCUACACGCCCAAAAUGGAGCUACAGAUGCGGAGUUACGACAUGAUGAAAAUCACAAAAUAUCUAGGGUUCGGGGAUAAAAAGUCAACCCUCCGGAUCUAGAUCUGAGAUCACUGUAGCAGUGCGCGGACGUCGAGGUUCGCCGGAGUUUGUCGAGGUGGUCGCCGGACUUGGCGUGGAGAGGAGCUUGCCGGCCGGAUCUUGCCGGAUCCGGUGAGGGCGGCCGAGGAGGAGAGGACGGGCGGCGAGGUGCGGCUGGCGCGGAACGAAGCGCGGCUCCGGCCGGCGAGNNNNNNNNNNNNNNNNNNNNNNNNNNNNNNNNNNNNNNNNNNNNNNNNNNNNNNNNNNNNNNNNNNNNNNNNNNNNNNNNNNNNNNNNNNNNNNNNNNNNNNNNNNNNNNNNNNNNNNNNNNNNNNNNNNNNNNNNNNNNNNNNNNNNNNNNNNNNNNNNNNNNNNNNNNNNNNNNNNNNNNNNNNNNNNNNNNNNNNNNNNNNNNNNNNNNNNNNNNNNNNNNNNNNNNNNNNNNNNNNNNNNNNNNNNNNNNNNNNNNNNNNNNNNNNNNNNNNNNNNNNNNNNNNNNNNNNNNNNNNNNNNNNNNNNNNNNNNNNNNNNNNNNNNNNNNNNNNCGCGGGCCUGGCGGGCCUCGGGCGGCGGCGGCGAUGUGGUCGCCCGCCCGGGACACAUGGCAGGAGCUGAUUCGUCCGGCGGAGCGGGAGGACGUGUCCGGCGUGCGGAGAGGAAGGGGAGCUAGGGUUUUGGGGAAGAAGAUCCAAAAAUUUCGGGAGAGGGUCUAUAUAUAGGCAUAGAGGGAGCUAGGAGAGUCCAAAUGAGGUGCGGUUUUCGGCCACGCGAUUGUGAUCGAACGCUCUAGAUGAUGGAGAGGGUUUUGGUGGGUUUUGGGCCAAAAUGGAAGGGUGUUGGGCUGCAACACACACGAGGCCUUCUCGGUCCGUCGGUUAACCAUUGGAGUAUCAAACAAAGUCCAAAUGGUACGAAACUUGACAGGCGGUCUACCGAUAGUAAACCAAGGCCGCUUGGCAAGUCUCGGUCCAAUCCGGAUAUGUUUAACCCCCACACAUGAAAAGAAGGUAGAAAGGACCACCGGAGGAGAUAGGAGCGCUGGAAUGCGAAACGGACAACGGGGAAAAUGCUCGGAUGCAUGAGACGAACACGUAUGCAAAUGCAAUGCACAUGAUGACAUAAUGUGAGAUGCAAGACAACGACAACAACACAUGGAGACAAAAACCCGAACCCGAGGAAAUAAAAUAACUUAGCGUCGGAAACGGCAAGAGUUGGAGUACAUAUUAGGUAAAUUACAUCCGGGGUGUUACACCUAAUCAGUCGCGCGACCCAUCAGAUAUCACCCACACAGGUGUCUGAUGGCUUGAGCCAGUUUUUACUCAUGAUAGGUCAGCAGUGCAUUGGCUGUUACUUUUGCAUAUGACCUUGGAUUGAGACGAGUUUUAUAUCAAAAUCAAUCAUUUCGACGAGACGAAGACAAUACAUGCAUAAUCUUUUCUCAUAUGAGGCUGUCUUGGAGGCCUAAUCGGCCAAACAGUACUCUACAUACAGAAUCCUAGUACAUCGAGCACAUCUUCCGCCCUCAAGAUGAGAUCGGAUGACGGUGACACAAAAUUCAAAUAUGUUCAUGUCGACAAUACGGAACUUUUUCAUGUACUCCCUCCGUUCGGAAUUACUUGUCUCAGAUAUGGAUGUAUCUAAAACUAAAAUACAUCUAGAUACAUCCAUUUCUGCGACAAGUAAUUCCGAAUGGAGGGAGUAGAUCACUUCUCCAUUUGAGCCCAUCUUAAUUAUGUUCUUGACCAUGCCAAAAUCUGGUGUCAAUAGUUGCUUGGACCGGCGCCAACAUCUUUGCCGAUUGUGCCAGACUACCAACUCGCCGGAGAGAAGCGGCUGCCACUGUCGGUGCAAGACAAGACGACGCUGCGAUGACGGCGGUCGACAGGUGCUUGUGAAUUGUGAUUGUGGAUUGUGGUCGUCUCAUGCUAGGGUUAGGUUAAAUUCUGAUUUAUAUGUGGUGAUUUUAGUUAGUGGUCCACGUAGGUAUUUGGGUUUCUCAAUUGGGCUAAAUUUAUCGAAUAAUCCUAUUUGACCACCUCGGAUAAUCCGCAAAAGAUACCGGAUACUCCAUAUCCACCGGAUAUUACCAAUACUAUAUCUCUCUACCUUGUCCGCCGGAUAUCCAAUUGAUCAAAAUCUGUAUCAGCAUCCAUAUAUAGUUGUCUGAUACAAUGAAACCAUACCUUACCAACAUUUGGGGCACUGACUGAAAAAGGGAUUGAACUUCAGUACCUCACUGCACCUGCCUUUGAGUGCAUGACAUGUGGACCCCACAUGAGGUUGGACCACAUGUCAUACACUCAAAGGAAGGUGCAGUUACGUCACUAAAGCUGCAUCCAUGAAAAGGCACUAGUUCAGGGGAAGAUGCUCCUCUAUAGUCCAACCCACCCCCACCCCGCACACAUUUUUUUAGGUUUCAUAAAAUUGCGAAAACAAUCACCACACGUCUAACUUACAUGUGGGACAAAUGCCCACCCGCGCGUCACUAACAUCUCCUUACCCAAAGCGCAUGAAGUGUGCGUGCUUUUGGGUGGCGUUUAUCCAACCUUUGCUGGAUGCACCAAAAGAAACUUAUCAAAUAUCAACUCAACAUGGGAAGGAUGUUGUGAUGCAUCAAUGUCAGCUUGUGCCCUGGGUGCUUUGUGUUUUUUUUGCAUCUGUAUGGUACUCCCUUUAUUUCAUAAUGUAGUGCCCAUAGACUUAGAAAAAAGUAAAAUAACAACAUUUGACCAAGUUUAUAGAAAAGAUUAUCAAUAUCUAUAAUAUCAAACACAUCAGUAUAAAAAUAUGUAUCAUGAUGUAUAUAAUGAUAUGUAUUUGUUAUUCUAUAUGUUAAUAUUUUUCUCUAGAUACUCAGUCAAAGUUGCAAAGCUUGAUUUUUAGAAAAAUCUAUAUUUGUUACAUUGUGGAACCAAGGGAGUAUGAUAUGAUAUCACGAGCGCAUCUAUGAAAUACAAAUCGGACCAUAUUCAUUUUCUCAUGUCAUAUGGGCUCCAAAAGGCAAUGAAAUAGGAUCUAGUCCAUAUGAAUGUGUCUGCAUACAGAUGGACCCCCUUUUCCAUGUGAUCUUCUGAUCAGUAAAUCUAUGGGGGUUGGUGAGUGCAAGUUUACAACCCAUGAAAGGGGUGUAAUAGAAUUGACUCGGCGCAGAGCAUCCGAAUUAUACAAAGGGUUGAACGUUGUUUUGAAGAGAAACAAAAUAGUGUGUCAAAAACAUAUAUUUCUAACAUUUUGGGGUGUUUAAAUAAGGAAGUACCAACCUUAGGAAUAUUGGACUUGAUACACACAUUUGGUUAGGCCCUAAAAGUUUCGAUCUCUCGAUUCAAUUUUCGCGGAGCUAAUGUGUUACUUAUGUCAAGUGAUUAUACCUCUGUUGUCUUAGAAAUAAUCACAGACUAAUCAAGAUCUUAUAACUCGUUUUGAACUUGGAUAGAUCUUAUAUUUAGACUGGGUGGUUUUACUGGUAAAUAGAAAAAAACAUUACUUGAUAAUGCAGGCUCCCAAACCUUUGCCAUAUCAUGAGUGCUGGAAAACUCACCAAUUAAUCAUGCUGCUUUUGACCAAGCGGUGAACAUAGUAAGUUGUCAAAAAAAAUCAAAUGCUACUUUAUAUAAGUUUGUCGCGGUUGCAAUUAAUGUGAGCUAGAAAUAGUAACAUUUAUGUUGAUCUAGACAAAAAUGGACAUGAACAAGUGGCCUAGCACAUUUUGCAUUAUGCCGUGGAUCUUUUACAUUUUUCUUAGCAUAUUUGGGUUGUCUGUCUCAAAAAAGUCCUUGUGUUCCAUCUUCUAGUUCCGUCAAAUAUAAACAAAAGAUGACACCAUCAAACUAUUCUCUAACUAUUAUGUUAAAUAUGAAAUGCUCCAAUAUCAGGUUCGUAUGUGUGAUAUAGUGCAAAAUGGGUAACUAAAAUCAAAUGCAAUAUGCUAUUUUAAGAGCUAAUGUUUGUUGGAUGAAAAGCAAAGCAAGAAAAGUAGACGUGGCUCACUAUCUAUAGCAAUUUUACAUCUUUCAUCUGUCUCCAUCCAAAAGUGGUACCAAUCCAACAUACCUUAUGUAUAUUUAUUGUCAAAUAUCACCACACACCAAAUUCAACCACGACCACGUAUAUUUGAGGCUGACAACAUUAGUUGUACCAUUAUGUAACUAUGUAGAUUGAAAUGUGUUAUGUACCGUAUUGAUGUAGAACAUUCUAGUGAUUUAUCCAGAUUCCUGGGCAACUCGAUGUACCGUUAACACUUUUUCACCUAUUUUAGAAAACAAAGAUGUAUAGUUCGCUACCAGAUGAUAGGUUAGUGGCAAAAAAGAAUGGCAAGUGGUUGAGGGGUAAGGAGUUUCUUUUGGAUAAGCUAGGUUGUUGCAUUUUUAUAGGUGUCCAUGGAUCAAAUUAAGACUACUUGUUUUUCUUGUCUCGGUUUUUUUGUUGGGUUAAUUUUCAUUUGAUAAAAAUUCCCGAGUUCCUUGUGGAAGGACAUAUCAAUAUUGCCCCACUAAAUUAGAAAGCGAUAGCAACAUCACAACAAUUAUGGACUUCAUGAUGACUAGUCGUAUGAGGAAGAAAAUAUCGUGCAUAAAUGUUGAUGCAUGCUUGUCUUUAAUGUUGAUGGUAUGCUGGAAUGGUUGGUCAUCAAUCAAAAAAUAAUGUAGGCAAAGAGGUAACCAGAUACUUUUGAAACAAACUGCAAACAUUAGCACAUUUCCAAUAGGUAGCAAUAAAAACUUGUUAUGCAAUGUAUAAUAUAAUGCACAGUGAAAAGAACAACGAUCUAGCAGAAGUGAAAGAUCAUCAAUUAUUCGUAGUAUUCCUCCGAACUCAAGAAAAAUCCCACUCUUGACAUCAUAGAGGAAAAACAACCGAUGGCACACCAUUAUUGUAGAUGCACUUAGUUUUUGUAAGACAUUAAGAUGCGUGCAAUUGGUGCAUAAGAAACUAACUGUAAACCAACAACAUCCCAUGAACCUAGGGUUGCACCAAGGAGAUGCAUGUAAUUGGUGCAUAGCACACUAACUAUAAAUCAUCAACAUCCCAUGAACCCAGGGUUGCACCACUAUUGUAUCCAUAUCAAAGCCCCCCCCCCCUUCUCGCUUCACCCAAAACGACCGAAAGAGAACAACCUGUAUGUUGCCAAACUUCAGUUGCAGCCAGCCAUUACCGACUUAAAACCGCAUUCUAGUCACAAUACACCACCACACGAUGACAACCUUCUCUGAAUCAGUCCAGACAGUCCAACCAAAACCAAACUCAGUCUGCUAUUUUAUGGGCUAACUAGCAUAGUGAUCCGCUCGGCUAGGUUUCAUAUUAUUUUCUCUUCAAACAAACACUCCCCAUGAUAACUAACAUCAUAGCAAAGAUAUACAUCCAGUGAGAACAUAUUUCAUAGUGACCCGCAUAUUUGCGCGGCUAGAUUUCAUAGGUAUUACUGUAUUCCAAAUAAAAUAGUGUAUUAUUUGAAGGCAUCUCAAAAAGUAGAUGAUGCAUUCUCUGGUGACAUUAAUGGCACAAAAAGAAGACAUUUGUUUGUCUUAAAAAAACAUCUUGCACAUAGAGAAAUUGCCCAAUCUUGACGGUAUUUUUAAUUAUGAUUUCAAUUGUGCAAGCUGGGUCUUAAUGACUCAAAGAUUUUUUGGUUCGGAUACCAUAUAGAAGUAAAUGCAUUGGUUAUGUUAUAAGUCAUGGGAGAGAGGUAGACAUUGCAUUCAUACUUCAAGAAUAAGAGAUCAUCAAAUCAUCAUACUCCACGGACAGAAAACUUCACCUGCUAGCCAAACAAAAACAUUUUGCACAAAAGUUAAAAAUCCGAUGCUUGAAUUUUAAAUGCCGGAGAAAAUUGCGAUGCUCGCAAUAACAUAAUUUGUCAUAGCACGCGUUAGAUUUGUCAUAUUUAAAAAUCCGACGUCGUCAAAUUUAUAGCGAAAUCGUAGAGAAAUCGCCAUCCUCGGACUACCUACUACAAGUCGUAGCAACGUUCGCCGCAAACGCCGUAGAAUCCCAUCCAUGUCAGUGCAAACGCCAUGGGUUGACGUAUAGCACGACGACAGUAGGUACAGGCAUCGGCAUGCAUGCCACAUGCGUGCAUCGACGCAGGGUGCGCCGGCCGGCCGGCCAUGGAUACCAGCGAGAUAUAUACACCUCUUCCCUCUUGCUUUCACCCGAAACGGCGAAGAGAAACGACGUACGUGUCUGCCGCCAGACUUGAACCGCAAGCGGCCAUCCCCGACCUGAAACCGCUGGGUACGGCCACGCAAAACGUUCGCAGCUUCUGAACCGGUCCAGUCGGGCCAGCCGGCCAGCGGCGCACGGGUACCGUCGUGCUGGGUAUCGGCUCGGCCCCGGCCCUCGUGAUGGCCACCCGAGGCCCGAAGGCGAUCAGAGGCGUGCAGCUUCCCUGUAGCCAGACAGCGGCCGGACGCUGCCGCCGCUGCGCGGCAUGGCACCCACAUCUCCCCCUUCCUCGCCGGCCGGCUGCGCACGGCGCCGGCGCCUCCACGGAAACGACGCAGGUAGACUGACAGGCCGAAGCGGGCGGGUUCGCCCGAAACUCACAUGUCAGUGAUGCUCUGCUUCGUACGUGCGUGAGAGAGGAGACAUAGAGUUAAGGAUUCUUCUGCUAGCUAGCUGCUCAGUGUGUGUGCGUUUGAAAUUAAGAGUCACCCAGGGCAUUUCUAACCGAUCCUUUAUAAUCGGUUCGAAAUUAAGAGUGACCGAGGGCAUUUCUAAUCAAUCACUUAUAAUCGGUUAAAGAAAUAAAAAUAUGAUUUUUCGGCACCGAGACGAUCCCCAAUCCAUCAUAAGGGAGUAUAUUUUUUUACUUCAUCCCUAAGUUUUUGCAUAUAUUUACUCCGUCUGAAGGCGGCCGAGUAUAAAUUUUCUUCACGCAAAGAUCUCCUCAUGGCCGGCCGGCGACUCACGUGAAGCUCCCAUGGCCUCCCGGCGACCCUUGCACGUACUACUACCGGAACUGCCACUAAAUGUUGUUGCUGCUGUGCGUUGCUGUUGUGUGUUGUUGCUGCUGCUUGCCGCUGCCGGUGUGUGCUGUUGUUGCUGUUGCUCGCCGCCGUUGGUGCGUGUUGCUACUCCUUCCCGUUGCGUGCUGCUGCUGCUCGCUGCCGCCGGUGCGUGUUGUUGUUGCUUGCCGCCGGUGCAUGCUCGCCGUUGCUCCUCCCUGCUGUGUGCUGCUACUGCUGCUGCUUGCCGCUGCUCCUCCCUGCUGUGUGUUGCUACUGCUGCUACUCGCCACCACCGGUGCGUGCUGCUGUUGUUGCUCCUCCCAGUUGCGUGUUGUUGCUGCUUGCCGCCGGUGCAUGCUCGCCGUUGCUCCUCCCUGCCGCGUGCUGCUACUACUGCUGCUUGCCACUGCUCCUCCCCACUGUGUGCUGCUACUGCUGCUACUCGCCGCCGUCGCUGCGUGCUGCUGCUAUUGCUCCUCCCAGUUGUGUGUCUUUGCUGCUGCUGCUCGGUGCUCGCUACCGACAUGGUCACGUGGUUGCCACUCGCCACGAAGGUGCAUAGCAAGUGUUCGACGAAAUGUAUGAACGAAAUUUAAAUUUACUCCAUUAUGUAUAGGGUGGUCGCCGGUCGGCUAGCUCCAACCAAAACUCUACGAAGGUUUAUUUCUUUAUUUUUUAAGAGAUCGGUUAGAAAUGUCCUGAGUGGCCGGGCAGUGGAAGGAUAUGAUAGACGGAACGCGAGGGAGUAGUGGAGUUUUCUGUCCAUGGACAGAGGUACGCGUACGUAGGUACGGGCUUGGGAGAAGAGACGAGGGCGGUGCAGGGCAGGCCGUACGCCACAGUCAGCUGCACCUGCCUGCCUCCUCCGUCUUUGUUUGACGCCCCCAACCCCGUGAAAGGGCAUCACGCACGCAACAGUACUCCAAUCCUCUUCGGGAGGCCACGACCCAUCUCGUCCGAUCGGGAACAAGCGAACGGGAUUGGCUGCCCGGAGCCCGCGAGCUAGUCACUAGUGAGUGUCCACUAUAAAUCUUUUUUUUUUCCCUGAGGCUGGUUGUAAUGAGGAGUAUCAUAUACUAGUAUCAUGAUACUAGUCUAUGAUACUACAUCCCUAAUGCAUAGUAUCAUAUGUUGGUAUCAUAGAUGACUAUAUUUAUUACCAUGCAACACAAAAUAGCACAUCAUUUAAUAUGAUACGGUAUCAUGAUAUGACACUCAAGCCUCUCUUCCUUUAUUUAAUUCUAUGCCACCUCAUCAAAACUGCUUAGUUGACAUGCAUACUACGUGCACUGUACUUGGAAAUAUUGGUGGCUGCAUGUAUGGGCGUGCCGGAAGAAAGGACAGCCUAGUGGGGGACCGGGGUAAUUCCACAUUUACAACAGUAACAAUGCCACGUCAGAUUCCAAGCGUCUUUGGAUACAUGUGGCAUUACUUGUCCCGUCAACUUUAUUUCUUCCAUCAUGCAAAAUAAACUUUAUUUUUUUUCCAUUUCAAUCAAAAUAAUUUAUUUAUUCUCUUUCUUGGUCGCCUCUUCAAAAUUCGCUUCCGCGGCAGCAUUCCCGCUCUCCUACCUCCAUCUUCCUGAACCCCUUAACCUAAUGCACAUCCGUAACUCAUCGCCUCUCUCAGCGAAAAAAAUGAGCCAAGAGAGUCCAAUCUUCUAGCGCCGUUCUCCGGCGACUCCCCUUCACCGGCAACCUCGGUCGUCGGUGGUGAGGGGGGCGCCGGAUCCACGUGUGUGGAUCAUUUUUUACUCUCUCGUAGUCUAGGUUUUAGGCUGUUCAUCGUCUUGGCUUCGGCGACGACGAUGACAACGCUGAAUAAAGAUAGUUUCCUCCUUCGGUGACUUAGUCGUGGUGGGAUGCCAGAUCUGGAGUUUGACGGUGUGUCCGGGGUGUUGCCCCGGUCUGAUUCAUUCAACGACAAGGGUUUACUUUUGGUGAGCCACCUUGGAGGUCCGCAAAGCUGUAUAUCAUCGAUGGAGACGCGUAGCUCGAGUGAGGAGGUGAUCCGUCAUUCUUUUCUUCGGUGGCUGCUAUGGUGGUGCCGGAGGCAGGUGACGGGUGUUGGUGUCAAGCUCAGAAAUGUUCUGCUAUCUUUUUAGUUUUGUCAUGUCGGUCCUUACGUAACUUGUACUUUGAUGUUUAUGAUAUGAAUCAGACACGUAUUACGUUAGAAAAAAGUAGUUGUACUUGCUAAUAUAUAAGCCAUUUCCGGCUACAAAUUGUUGCAAUGUACUCUCUUCGGUCCUUUUUAGUCUGCAUAUAAGUUUUGUCUGAAGUCAAAGCAUCUCUACUUUGACCAAACUUAUAAAAAAAGUAUCACCAUUUACAAUAUCAAAUCAAUAUCGUUAGAUUCAUUACGAAAUGUACUUUCACGGGAUAUAUAUUUGGUAUGGUAAUUGUUGAUAUUUUUUAAAUAUAUAUUUGGUCAAACUUUGUAAAGUUUGACUUGACCAAAACCUAAUAUGCGGAGUAAAAAGGACCGGAGGGAGUAGUACCAUUUUAACGUUCACAGAUUAAAAUGCAGCCUCCCUCUCCGCUGUGAUCUUCCAUUCACUCAAUCUCUGGGGGAUGUUGCCAGCGUGCAAGUUGAAAACUUUGGACUCGUCUUCCUUAAUAUGCCAUCGUAUGAUGGGUAAGGCGGUGCUUGGCAUUUUGGCAUUGUCAUGUGGAUAGAUACUUUGGCUUCACCGCAUGUGUGGGCUUUGAAAUGGCAUCUAUUAAUAGAUAUUUUACCUUUUCUCCUCUCUCCUACAGAAAGUACACUUCUUUUUGAAUUUACAGAAAGUAUACUUGGGCUUGGGGAUCUUGUGGAAUAGCAUCACGUGGGUCUAGAAUAGAUGCGCGUAGUUUAUUUACUCAACCGAAGCUUACUUUUAUUCGAUUCUGUCUCUUGAGACAACUAGGUUACUAGUGGAAGGUUUCAGCUAAUCCCAGUCCUACUAUCCAAAUUAAUUAAUUACACGGAUGCCCAUCAGCAAAAGAAAAAUGGCGAUUAGUAGUAAGAGUACUCCCUUCGUUUCUUUUUAGUCUGUAUAUAAGGUUUGGUCAAAGUCAAGUUUUGUAAAAUUUGACUAAUUUUAUAUUAAAAAAUAUAAGCAUUGACAAUAUGAAAUUAAUAUUAUCAAAUGCACCACAAAAUGUAAUUUCGUACUACAUAGUUUUUAUAUUGUAGAUGUUCGUAUUUUUUAAUAUAAAUUUAAUCAAACUUUGUGUAGUUUGACUUUGUCCGAAUCUUAUAUGCGGAGUAAAAAAAAA
RNAcentral lists this long non-coding RNA (73151 nucleotides) under Triticum aestivum (bread wheat). RNAcentral describes it as "long non-coding RNA (TAES_LNC021246)". The stretch from base 64535 to 64649 matches the Rfam family "MIR1120/MIR1122 microRNA precursor family". The record is from RNAcentral. Lineage: Eukaryota; Viridiplantae; Streptophyta; Magnoliopsida; Poales; Poaceae.